GACUAGUAAACUAACAUGACAAUGGUUUUAUUAUAAUAUAAAAUCGUAUCAUAAUUUUAUUAUAAUAUUAAUAAAUUGAUAAUAUCGCAUGACGGUGUCCAACUCGACAUAUUUUUUCAAAAAGUGAGGUGAAUGGAGAAACUAUGAUUUAAUGUUGGAAAAUAAUAUCUCGUGAAAGUUGUAAUUCAUUCACUCCCAAGGGAUUUAAAAGGAUAUAUUAAUCCUUCAUGAAGAAGGAAGAAGAAAAAAAUCAAAAUACCACGGCUGCGUGGCACUCGUUGAUCCAUGAUGCAUUAUGCACUGUUAUACAACACGUGCUUGUUGGAAGUCUCCAAGAGGCUUCCCUUGGUGUUUAGUUUUUUUUUUUUUUUUUUUUUUUUUUGGUGUGCUUCCUUUGGUUUUUAGUUUUGACAGAUAAACUUUAGUGUUUUUUGGGAUACUUUACUGGUCAACUUCUGAAGGAAUAUUAUGAAUCUUUGAUGUUUCAUCAACGGGCCGGUUUUGAGAUUUUGAGAACUUGUACGAAACUUAAAUAAUAAAAAUAUAAAAUAUAAAUCUUUAUCCUUAAUUACACGAUUUAUGCAAAAAUAAGAUAUGUACAAUCCCCGGAUAUCGUGGCCGUCAUAAUUAGUUACUAACAUACUAGUUCCUAUAUCAAGAGUUUUAAUUUGGUGGUUUGCUUGAGAAUGAGGCUAUACAUAGGAAAUUACCUAAAAAAUCGGGGGACCUUCAUUAUGUUGUAUAUCUGCCCAACAAAAAUACAUAAUAUCUUGGAAAAGUAGAAUUACAAUCUACCUAUAUAUUGAUUACUAUGAUUAUGCUAUGUAUUUGCCUAUAUAUUCAUAGCAUUGAUCAUACAUUUAUAUUCUUCUGAGAAAUCUUGAUCAUAUAUAUCCUCGCUUAUAUUGUUGUGUCCUUUAAAAUAAAUAAAAAAAGAUGACAGCAUUUGGUAUUCAAGUAUAUGUACUUGUCAUGAGUUUGAUACUUAAUUGUGACUUGUCCCAAUGCGUUACGUAAAUAUUAGCUUUGUUAUGUAUGAAUGCAUUAGCCCGUGGUAAAGUAUAUCUUUAAAUAUUCUAUAUUUUGGAAAAAAACAAAAACAAAAGAACAAACAAAUAGCAAAAGAUGCUACGCUUUUAAUUUUGGAAGGAAAGCUUUGCACGAAAGUUUUCCUAGCUACUGUGUACUAAUGUGCUCUCUAUGACUACAUAUACUGCUAACUCCAGGCACCUAUAUAUUGCUUACAACACCCAAUGCUUACAUGACAGGAGUCAUUGGACGAAGAGGAGCUGAAGCAGGGUGGCCUAAGCAACUCUGCGGGUGCUCAUGGAUAUUUUUAGAAACAUCAUAAAAUGAAGUUGAACCAAACUCCACCAUAUUGUUCUUACCUGCAUUUUUCAAAUUGGGUAGACUUCGAAUUCGAUACCUUUCAAAUAUACUCAUCUUCAAAUGUGACUGAGGCACCGAAUUAUAACCUGAUAUCACAUCCAUUGCUUUCUUCUCCACAUCCUGGUGAUUCUCAUUCACCUUGUUCUCAUCACAUUCAUCAUCGUCAUCCUCCUCAACCUCGCCAACAUCCUCAUCGACGGUUUGGAGGUCUUCGUCCAUUUCAAGCUCUUCUUCAUUUUCUUCAUCACAACAUGUUAGGGCACUGUCAAAACAUGCUAAGGCAUUGUCCAGAGGUACAAGGUUCAAAAUAAGGCGACCGUCCUCCCGGCGGGCUUCGAAGUACUCAUGGUGCUUCACUCUCUCUCCUUUAAGGACAAGCCUUCCAUUAGAGUGAUCAUAAUGCUUGGUAAAAAUCCAGGGCAUACGACCUUGCAAGUUCCCAGUCUGUGCAAGCAAUGGUAUUGGUGGUGGAUAUUCUCUCUUGAUCUUUUCACUCCUUCGAGUAGUAGUACUCCGGGUGCUCUUAGCUUCAUUCCUACGACUCAUGCUAAAUUCUACUGUAUUUUUCAAAAAUCCUAAUUUCUCUUGUUCCUUGGUUAGCAUGAUUGGGACGCCGCUGUCCGUACCAAUCAGGUCGUCCAUUGCAGAGGACGACCAAGAUAAAGAGCUAUCCAACAUACAAGAAGAAGUGAGUGAAGACGAUCCGGAUGAUGAUGAUGAUGAUGGUGCUGGUGAAACCUUAUGGUUGUGAAUAAUGUGGGGGUGGUGAUGAUCUAAAAUUUGAGGGUUUCUAGCUGCUUCCGAAAAAUUUAGGGUUUUGAGCCCUAGUUCAAGAUGAUGAUGGGUUGGGAAUGCUUUUACCAUUUGCAUUGCAAAUGGUAACCUGGUUGCCCACAGGAAAAUCCCAAAAAGGGAGGAAAUUAUGGAUUUAGCUCUACCAAAAUAGCUUGGAUCACUACUCAAAGAAUCCAUGGUUCCACAGUCAAGAUAACAAAAGGGGCUAGCUAGUUUAAUGGCCAGCUUAUGUAGGAUACUUGUGGUUUUCUAGAAAUUAACCUACCAACCCUUUUGAAAAAAAAAAAAAACCUACCUACCCAGUCAUUAACCUGCAAGUAAUUAAAGAAGAAGAUAUCAGAAUAAUGUGGCUAUAAUAACAAAUCGGGUAUUUUAAUUAUAAAUUUAAUUAUUAUAUAUGAAGUUUUAUCCAAUUGGAUAAGAACAAACUCUUUUGGUGGAAUCAAUUGCUUUUACCUCUUAACUGCAUUUUGUCUGCUUUCAUCAAACGUUUCUCUCUCUACUGGUUGGAUUUUUCUCUUCCUGUUAAUCUUAAGAAGAUUAAUUAAGAAAUAUAACUUUAUAUAUAUAUAUAUAUAUAGAAAAAUAAUAAUUCAUUUUGAAUGCAAGAGGCUGGAUGAGGAAUUCUAAUAUUAUUUGCAUAAACAAAAACUUUAAUAGAAUAAAAAUACAGUCCAAGUCCAUGGAGGAAACAAAAUCACAUCAUCUCGUGCAGAUUUUGUAAGGGCGUAAAUAAAUAAAUGGAGAUUAUGAAGAUUCAAUUGCCAAAAAUAUAUGCCGUUUACUAUGUAUGCAACAAUAGACCAUAAAUCAAAUUAUUAUUCAUUUCUAUAAAUUAAGCCAAUAAUUUAGGACAAUUAAGUUAAAGAAAAAAGAAAGAAACAACUGUGUCUGGUGAUGAAUGCACAAUCCUUAGAAACAAUAACAGAUUAACCUAUAAGGUAUCAGUCUGAAAAUUUGGCUUCAAGUGGAUCAAGACUAGUUCAAAUACAACUAUUUUCCCUUCCCUCGUACCGUCGAGAUUUCAAAUAUACAUUAUAUAUUAACAAAAACAAAACAGAUCAAGUCGAACAAAUAUAUAUCUAGCCUAUAGAAAGCAAAAACAUUUGGCAUAGAUCGAUAUAUAAAACACAAUUAAGAGAUUCAAAUUAGUGAAAUUAACAAGCUAAUCAAAACACAAAUUCAAAUGCAGAUUACAUGAAAUAUAUAUAUAUAUAUAUAUAUGAGAGAGAGAAAGCAUAAUAAUUUUGUACUUACUUUAUCAAUGGCACUGGUGCAUUAUAUUUAGUACAUUUUCCCUGUGGCAGAGAAAGAGAGAAGAAACAGUGGACAGAGAGACCAAAUGAGAAGAGAGAGAGCAACCAUUUCUCGAGUGUUUUUGCUAAACCCUUUAUAUAUAGGAAAAACCUUAACUGAGCUGGAUUACCUUAAUUGCACAGAGAGGACCCUCCUGGCACCGUGACUCACACAAGCAAUAUUAAAGGUCGCAAACGUCAUUUCACACUCACCAAGAAACGGCUGCAUUUUUUGCGGGAUCGGCGAGGGGCUUGGCUCGUCUGGAACCGGCAUGGCCUGCGAUUGCUGUAACCGGCACCAGAAGUGGCGCGUUUUGAGUCUGAUCCCAGUGUCGUGUAGAAUGUGAUUGGUGGGGGCUUGGUGAGAGCAGGGAGGGGGUUGCACAAGUGAUCAUGGAGUGGGGCAUGGAUGAACUGAAUUUGUCUGGUUUGGUAUUCUCUGGCUUCCAUUUUUGAUGCCAGGUCUGCUCCUUUCUUGUUCAGCAGCCAGCUUAUUAGACACGUAGAGAGAGAGAGAGAGAGAGAGAGAGAGAGAGAGAGAGAGAGAGAGAGAGAGAGAGAGGCCUUGUCUGGUGUUGUAUCUCUGGCUUCCAUGAAUUCAUGUAAGUUGUAACUCUCGAGUGCAAUGCUUGCGCAUGUGUGACAUAUAAAUUGUAUCUCUGGUUCAUUCUACAAUGUCAUCUCAUUUCAUGAUAAGAACCGUUACCCUUCUAAGUCAACACUCCCUUAACAAUAAGCAUUACAAGAAAUUAGUCAAAUUAGACAACAUUGAGUUGUCUAAUUGUGAUAGAAUGAAAAGAUGAAUACGAUAUUUUUUAUGUACAAUGAAAAUAUUCACUAUAAUGAUCAAAUUGUUAAGCAGUUUUCAUUUGGCUUAUUUUUGAAGAGAUGUUCCAAACAAGUAGUUAAUGCCGAAUGCCACAAUUUUCACACCUUUUUUUUUAAGUGAAACACUGUAAUUGUUCGAGUGUUAUAUAUCAAUUAUCAUGACCAACUGAUAAUUAUUGGUUACAUAAUGUGGUUUUAAAAUACAAUUCAUUCUGCAAAGGACUCACUAGUGCAGUAGUUUGAAGCAUUUAUUCUCGUUUGAAAGGUCAUGGGCUCCAGUUCUAGCAUCCGUGUGUGAGUUCAGUAUGUUAUCACACCUCUCAAUUAAAAAAGUCCUUAAAAAAAAAGAUAUUUAGUCAUAUACCAAUUCUUAGCAUUAAUGAUAUAGAUCAACCCUACACCAUAUAAUUUCUAUAGACAAACAAAAAAUAAAACCUAAAAAUUGACAGCUGACUCUAUUGAAUUUAAUUUUGAUUAUUAAAUUACUUUCAUGCCCUAUUUAGUGUUUUGAGUUUUUUUAUAUAUGAGGUUUUGGGAUUAUGCUUGUUUUAAGAAAUCGAUGACAGUUUUGUAAUUUAGAAGAAGUUAGAAGCCUUUGAGUGUGUUUUUAAAGUCCAUUUCAUAUAGGUUUUUAUUAUUAUAAUUUGGACUCCUAUAUUGGGUAUAAUAGUGAAUCUCCCUUAAAAAAAAAGUUCAUUUAACUAUACUCAUAUCUCUAAAAAAAGAAAGAAAGCAUUACUCAUUAAUUCUAAUCCUAAUCCCCUUCCAUUUUUGGGGCUAAUCCUAACCCCAUCCCUGUUACCUGAUUACCUGAUCACCCGGAUGAAAAAGAAAAUCGCCAUAUGCACAUCAAAUUCUUUGGCUUGCACACCAUCGUUUAGCACGGGGCAAAAGAGAUCUCUCCCUUUUCAUGCCCCCCAUUUUGCAAACGUUCCUCCUGCAAAGAAAGUAAACUCUCAACCGAGACCAAGUCUUGCAUCCUGCUUUUGGUUUUCUUGUCUUUUCAUAUUCUAGUGUUCUUAAGUUUCAAAUUAAGACAAAAAAGAAGAAGAAGAAGUUAAUACAAGCGAAAGAAAUCCACUAGAAAAAAGGAAAGCCCCAAAUACGUACAAAAUCAUAUGAGUCUCUUACAUAGAAACCCUACAAAAGAAGAUUGUGUAAAUUGCAAAGGCAAUAUACCUGUAUAGUAGGGGGUUUGCAAGGAAGAAUUUAGGGCUCUUCUUUUGCAUUUGAUGGCUGAAUGAAUUUUUUUUCAUCAAUUAAAGUUUCUUUCUCUCUUUUUCGCAUCAAGUAGUUGAGCAAAUUAGGUCAGAGCAAAAUGGGGAUCUUCUUUCACAUCGAGUAGUUGAGAAAAUAAGGUCAAAGCCAAAUGGGAAUCGAUUUUAAAUCUCAUUCAUUGCGUCCACCAAGUGGCACAUGCCUCACACGUGUAAGUAAUGUACACAAAAGGAUUUCGUGUACUACAUACUCAUUAUCAUCGAGGGUAUUCCGGUCACUGAAUUUCCAAUCGCUAGCAAAUUUCAAAAUAAUAUUAUAUCGCGAUAGGCUGAUAUUUCCUAUUAUUUUUAAAUUUGAAAAACAAUUAAAAAUAGCAAGGCCAACUAUCUCUAGUUGCGACAAUACUUGAGCGCAGCCAUCACACCGUUACAUAUCCCUUAUCCCACGUGUUAAUAUAGAUGGGUGACAUGAUUGAUACUUUCUCAAUCUAGCAUAUAUUAUUAAUGAGCAUAUUGUAUCAUGAGUGGACUGUAACAUCACGUGACGGUAUAGCAAUGCCGCCAAAAAAUUACUCAAUUAAACAUGACGCCACACACCAAUUGCCAAAUUUGGAACUAAAACAACAACCAAAUUCUCCGAGCUGAAUUUGUAGAGAAACAAAAAUGACGUAUGUACAUGAGAGACGUGUUUACUAAUAAUCAUUUAUAAGUGAGGCUAUUCUGUUCAAUGGAUUACAAAUCUCAAUCUUUAUUUUUCUUUGUUUAUUUUUUGCAAGAAAAAUCUCUAUUAAAUUUCAGACUACGUAUCCAUUGUAAUUUCUGUCGGCGUCGGCAUGUCUUCAUUGAAAUUGUAUGGGUAAUUUGGUCUUCAUUGCAACAUUGAAUUGAAUAUCAAAUACAAAUAAAAGUUUACUACUCUAGUUCUUGCUAUCUACUAGCUGCUGCUACUUCCUCCGCCACGGAUCGAUGCGCAUGCUGCUGCGCUAGUCUAGGAACUGGCGUCGGCCACCACGGGAGCACAACUGUGUAAUAGUAACGAUGUGUUGCCCAGUGUUCAAAUAACUUUGACCACUCUCCUGUGCGAAUGUUCCACUUGAUAAUAUCUCUCCGCACAUGCAGAUAAAAAAUAUCCUUACUAUUUGGAUCAAAAGCAAUCAUUACGCAAUACGCGUUGAUCGGAAUCAUUUCAGGAUCGAAGGAAUAAACCCCGCGUUUACUCAAACACAAAUUUUUGCCAGCAGCAGCUCCAUCUUGUGUUUGUUUCAACUCAUAUACAUACAGACUUCGGGUCGUCCUGUUCAUGUUGCACAUUAGCACAUAUCCUCCGCAGACACCUAAGUACUGAACACUAAAACCUAAGUCUAGAGUCUCCUCAAAUACGGUGAAACGCAGUUUAUGAUCAAUCAUACAAUCACCAUUAUUACUGCUGCUGCUACUAGUUCCAUCAUUGUCAUAGAAUGGACCCAAACCAAUAACACUAAGGCCGCGGUCUGUUGGCCAAUAUAACAUUCCAUUGUAUGCAAAGGAGAACACAUUGAGGUCACCAAAAUUGAAAUGUCGAGGGGACGAGACGACUGAUUCUCUCCACUCACCAGUGUCAGAGGAGAAGAUCUCCACGUCUAAUUUGAACAUAUAUCACCUUUCUUCUCAUCAUUUGCAUAUUCAACAGGAGGAAGAAUUCUCACAACCGUGAACCUACACUCAACAUUAAGAUGGAUGUUGUUUCCUUUCCAAUCAUCUUCCUCAAAUUUAUAGUCAGGAACAACAUUGCAGAUGAUUCCUACCCGCACACUCUUGUGACAUUGACUUGGGGUGGGAGGAAGUUCAGCAUAUUGCAUGGUGUAUGCAUUGCAAAUGUAGUAAUCGCGUUGAUAAUCCUCGGUUAUGCAAAACAAAACUAAGUCAUUAUAUAUCGCUACAACAACUGGCUUUUCCAUCAAACGGUGGACACCCGGGAAUCCUUUGAGCACCGGAGUUAGUAGAUUAAUGGGUGGGGACGACAAUAAAAGAGGGAAUUCCAAUGCACUUUUGGUUAUCAAAGUGCAUAUCUUUGGAGUUCUCUUAUAACUUUUGAUACUCACAAAGCGGCCAAUAAAAUAAGGAUCUGCGAUGAGGGUGCACCAACGCUUGGACACAGACUUGCAUUGAAAAACAAAUUUGUUGCUUGAAAAAAACAAAUCAAUAAAUCCUUGACACACGGUAGAAGCAAUUCGGAAUCCUUAGUAAUUUAGGUUUCUUGUCCUACUAUCUAUAUGAUUUACAUUAUAAUUUUUGUGAUAAAACAAAAACCCAAAUUUAGGGUUCUAUCUGCCAGAGAGAAUGAAGUUCACCGUUCUAUCUGCGAUUCCUCUAUAUGCCCAUGCUGCAUCCCCUUCUUUGUCAGCACCAAAUAAUUUUAGUUAUAUUUUUUUUUAACCUUCUUUGAUUCUUUAAGCCUAUGCAUUUACAGUUUACGUAUUUAUCCGCAGUUGGCAAAAUCUUGACCAUUCUAAUAAUGUAACCGUUUAAAGAGAUAACAUAUUAACAACAUAAAUAUUUAAUUUUCCUUUUCAUCAUAAAAUUAUUUAAAUUUAACAAUUAUUUAAUUGUUUAAACAAAAAAAACAUAAAUAAAUAUAAAAAAUCCACUCCGCCCUUUCCAGGGAAGGUGAGGGGGAGGAAUAUAGGUUUUUUGAAAGGUGAGGGGUAGUUAAGGGGGCCCUGUAAGGAAUAUAGAGAGAGAUUAUCAAAAGGGGAAGGGGGUUGCGAGCAAUACAGAGAGAGAGAUGGUGAAUGGUAUGUGUAGCGGCUUGGGUGGUGUUGUGUUGGGGUGUGUGUGGAGAGAGAUGGUGGUGUUAUGUCUGCUUGGGUGUGUUAGGGGAUAAGAGUGGGGAGGGAAAGUUGCAUCUCUGGUUUUUUAAUUUUUAGUUUAUGUGAUUUUAUCUUAUUUUUUUAGUUUUAAAUUAAAAUUUUAAAUAUUUAAAGUUAUUAUAUUUUUUUAAUUAAUUUUUUAAGAUUUGAUGAUGUGUCUUGUUUUAAACAGUUAGAUUAUUAGGAUGGUCAAGAUUUUGCGAAAUGCGAGUAAAUGCGUAAACUCCAAUUGUAGAGGCUCAAUUCCCCACCUAGAAUGUAAUUUCUCGGUGGCACAGAAAUGUUAGCCCAGAUAUAACAACUUUAUUGCAACAACUUGUAUCAAUGUUUUGAGACAUUUAGUCAAAAACAAAUGUCUCGAGACAUUUCAGAUAUAGCUAAAACAAAACAAUGGAAAAUAAUAAAGGCAACAACCUAGUAGCAAAUUACACAAAGCUCUAAUUGGACUUCAUUAACUUCAUUAAUAUGGACAACCCAACCCAAUUACUAUAAGCAGCUGAUAAUUAGCGAGCUUGAGCAGGGUCAAACUUUAUGGUCCAAAGUCCUAACUUCUGACGUUUGAGCUGAGCAAGUCCCCUGACUCUGAGCAUUUCUUGGAUGUACUUUCUUCUUCAAGUACAUCCAGAAGAAACAACUAGUACUUGGGCGAACCGUUUCACCCUUAGCUGUGCCCAACUUGCCUCUUUCUGCUUCUUCUUCCAUCUUCAUUUUCUUCUUGUGGAGGCAUCUCAGCACAUGUGCUUCAGCAAGACUAUAACCAGCAGUGGACAUGGCCUAUUUUUAUUUUAUUGUUGGUUUAAAAAAAAAUAAGCAAGUGAUUUUUUUUGGUGUUCAAUUUUAAAGAAGAAAUGAGGUAUUGUAAUUGAUGGGGCAUUGAGAGGGCGAUGAGUAGUUUCUUAUAACAUUUGUGCUGGCUUGGGAAGCAAGCAUGCAUACUUGCAGCGCACACAAAGAUGAUGUGGCAAUGUUGACAAAAAAAAGCUUCACUUUUUAGUUGAAUGUUGACUGCUAGAUUGGGUGCAGGUGGCUGACGCUUCUGGGUGGAAGGUUUCGUCUAUGUGUAUGCUUGCUUGGUUACCAAGGAAAAAAAGGAAAGUAAGAUUCUCUUUUCAUGUUUGACAAUGAAGUCAACUAUAGUUACAUACACUUUAUCAGACUACAUAUACUUUUUUUUUUUGUGAAGAUCAUCUCAGUUGAAAUAUCAGUAUUGUGUUCCAAUGCACUGGAAGUUAUAGAAUUUGUAAGUUUUGUAAAUCUAGAGAGAGAGAGAGAGAGAGAGCAGGAAACUAUAACAAGAAAGAAAUUAGAUGGUAUGAACAACGCAAUACAAAUAAUCAACAGAUAAAAGUUAGUACUUUAAUUCUUGCUAUCAACUAGCUGAGCUAGUCUAGGAACUGGCGUCGGCCACCAUGGGAGCACAACCUUGUAAUAGUAACGAUGUGCUUCACAGUUUUUAACUAUAUUUGACCACUUUCCUGUGCGAAUGUUGCACUUGAUAAUAUCUGCAUACACACGCAGAUACAAAAUAUCCUCAUUGUUUGGGUCAAAAGCAUGCAGUACACAACACGAUUGACGGUUCCCAAACAUUUCAGGGUCCAAGGAAUAAAUCCAGCGUUUACUCAAACAAAACUUUUUGCCAGCAGCUGCAUCUUGUGAUUCUUUCAACUCAUACACAUAGAGACUUCCGGUCGUCAUGCACAAGUUGCACAUUCGCAUGUAUCCGCCACACACACCUAAGUACUGAACACUAAAACCUAGUCUAGAGGCUCCUCAAAUAUAGUAAAACCUAGAGACAAUUGGGUUCUCUUCCUUACUUUGGUAGCAGUAUGGCAUCCCAUCCACCUGCGCCAUGAAAUAUAUCAUACACAUACUGUAUGGCCUCUAAGAAAAAUGUUUCGUGGAAUCGACAUAUGGUUCGUUAACUAAAACGUAGGAAUUUGGACAGACAACCUCUCAAUCAAUAAACUACAUAUAUAUAUAUAUAUAUAUAUAUCAUAUAUGUUAUGGCAAGCUAAUAUGGUUUGUGGUUGAUCACAGUGAAACUCUAAGUUGUAUGGAAAAACUAAGACUUAGGAACCUAACUAGUAAUGGUGCCCGCACGAUGCUGCGGGUUUUAAAACCGUGUGAAAUGUAUACAUAGUUGUGAAAAUAUGUAGGCAAGAUGGUACUAUUUAUAUAGACAUGGAGAUCUAAAUAGUGGCAUCUUUGUUUUGCAAGUCUAAUACUCCUAAAGAAAAAAUUAGCCAAACUACAUUAGCUAAAAAGAAUCUUAAUCAAUUCCAAAUAAUAGAGGUAGCGUUCAAACUUAGAAAGAGAGAAGGAUUAAAAUUCGGAAUUAGAAUUCAGAUAAUGGAGGUAGUCUUUAAACUUUGAACAUCUCUAACAUGACAUCACCAAAUCAAUAAAUAUUACACAAAAUCAGUAUAAAAACACAUGAAGACAAAAAAUUAAUAAAAAAGCAAAUAUUAACAACAGAUCAUUACACAAUGUAGGGUGACCCUAACAACAAUUGAGGAAUUGAUUGCUUUUGAUAGAGACCAAAGCAAGUGUUUCUAAAACAGAGAAUAAGAGCAUAAAAGUUUUUGAAUGUUGGAUGCCCAUUUUUACUUUUUCUUCCUCUUCCUCUGUUUCCCGAGAAAGCAAAUAAACAGAAUCAGCCAAAUAUCACCACAAAUCAAAUGUAUGGUAGUUAAUUCAAUGCCAAAGUAAGAAGUGCCAAAGAAUCAUUGAGCAUACAAAAAACAAAAAUAUGAGUCACCACUUGUAGAAGAUUAGCCCUUUGCUGGCAGCUCCUUUCACUUACAAACUCCUUGGUGUUCCAGUGCCACAACAACUUCAGUAUUUGAAGCACAAUCCAAGCUCUUCAGUGCUCGAUGCACAAUCCAAGCCCUGCAAGCUACAUUGGUAUUUGUUAUGGGUUGCCAUAAAAGGAAAUUUUCAUUCUUAAAAGUCCGUAUGUACGAAUCUAUAAAUGUUGCAAAACUUCCACAAAUAUCAAAUCAAACCACAGCUUAGUAGCGGCAUGUAUGUACCAAAUUGUGGCACAUCCCAUUUCAGCUCAUAAAUCGUCAAAUAAGAAAUCUAAAAUAUGCAUACUACAGGACACAUUCAUAUAAUAUAAAUUGAAAGGAUGAACCAAUAUUUUGCAAAAGCACAAAACCUUAUUAACAUCCCAACAAACCUAGAGGAUAAAAACAGAUAAUCAAAUCAAUCAUGAAAUAGAGAAUAAUAGACAGAAUAUGCACAUAUAAGGAAGACAUGCAACAAUUAAGACCACUCGCGCCACCCAUUUCUCUGUAAUUGAUCUUUCACUUUUUUAUUGUCAAUCUAACAUACUUUUAAAUCUUUACCAAUCAAAUUUUACAAUAAUUUGGGUUCCUGUAACCUACCUACGAUUUUGAUAGUUUACCUUUGCUACUUGCCUACUCCAAUUAUCGGAAGAAAACUGUACCAAAAAUUGUGUCAUUUUCAUUGGAAAAUUCAAAAUUAAAUGUUGAGUUUAAAGAGAUAAUGUUUUUAUAAAAAAAUUCAUUCUAAAACUGGUGGAGUAAAGUACUCGCAGAAUAUGUAACUCUUGCUGUUUGUUGAAAAGACAGAUUCAUCUUCUAUUCCUAUAAUAUAUUUGUACAUUGCACAAAACGUACUAUAAAAAAAAUGUUUUGGACAGAGACAUGAGAGUAAAUAUUUAAAAAAAAGAGGAAAGACUUAUCACCCGGAAAAUUGGAACCCCAAUACAAAAGAAAGGUUUGCAAUUUUGCAGACACAUUUGAGAGCCCAAAAUUCAUCGAAAUGAGACACUAAAACCAAGAGGAGCCUUUAUUCAGCAAAGAGGAGGCUUCAAUUUUGAAGGGAAAAAAAGAAAAGAAAACAUACGUCUCCAAUUCAACCGGACAUUUCGAGGGGAUGCCUAUGGCGCAGCCUCCUUCACAUCUGCCACCAAAGCCAAACAUCAAAUGCAAAAUGCGAUUCAAAUGAUUGAAACAAAAUUAGAAAAGCGAAAUAAAAGUGAUAAAAGAGUGACGCUUUGGGGGUAAAAGGUGAGACCUUUGGCAACAAAUUGGAUUUCGCCAGGAGGAGAGUUGAGGAGGAACCACUUCCCCACUGCAAAACAACAUUUACUACAUUAGACACUGACAAAUAAUCAAAAUGGGUACAAAUUUAUUAAUUAGAAAAAAGUAAAGUAUAAAUGGCAGAGAGAACAAACCUCAUUAAUGGCAAGCACUUAGCCAUUGCUCUUCUUGACCUUCUUCAGCUUCCUCAGGAAAUACCUAAUCCAAACAAAUCAACCAACACAAUUAAGUUUAACCCAAAAUUCACCAAUGAACAUUUGGAUCAUAAAAGCCAAGCUAAUGCUAAGGAUUAUACCAGAACUUGGACUUGGGCGAACCUCAUUGGUGGCCCAAAGCUUCAUUCGGUAAGUCUUGGGGUGCUCAUCAGAUGCUGUAGGGAGCUUCCUCCCAACAACCUGGUACUGGUGGAACUGCAAUACAAAAACGACACCAUUAAUUGCAGCUUUACCAUUUGACAUGCCCUAAGAAAAAUAUAUCACACAAACAAAUACCAAAUUAAAUGGAACCUAAGAAACUAUGAAGAUAAUUUUCUAGAUAUUUGUUUACCAAAUUUCAUACAACAAACCUCCACUUAAACUGACUGUUUACAACAAUGCUAAGAAUUUGGCUAAUCCAUUUCACCAGUAGCCUUAUGUUUAACUAAAUAAACUAUGUAUAAAACCAAAUGGGUAUUCUUCAAGAAUAAAACCAACCUUCUUGAAGCAUACCCAUCUAAGUUAUAAUAUGCAGAGGAAAAGAAAAUUAAAAAACCCCCCAAGCAUCCUAGUUUAAAAAAUGCAUAAUUUAGAAUUCUGUAACAGAAAUUGUCCCAUUAAAUUAAACUGAAAUAUAAAAAAAACAGUGAAUUUAAGGCUGAGAUGUAAUCGAGUUAUUGAAAGAAAAAAAACAGAGGAUGAGAGAACGAUUGACAAACCUCUUUGCUAGUCCAAAUGCGGAACCCUACUUCGCUUCUUCUUGUAGCACCUUCAAAGUCAGUCAACAUUCUGUGUUGUUCUACAAAAGAUAUUUAUGAACACAGAACAUCAUAAAAUACCUUUAUUGUAAAUUUCUUCAACACAAAAAGUCCAGAACCAAAAUAUUUGACGAAAUUCUAUUAAAGGAAAAAAAACUGAAAUUAAAGAGAGGGAGAGAGAACAAUGUAUACCACAACUUCUGUACAUAUACAUUGGCUCUGUCCCACAACAGCGGCAAUGGCAAUGGCAAGCCUUUAUUCACGCACAAAUAGUCACCUCCCAUUACCAAUUCAAAAGCCUGUUCAAUCCCAUCAUUGGGAAGUAAUACAAUCAAAAUUAAUAAAAGGGAAAGAAAUUAAAAUACAGCGGAGGCAAUUAAACGAUGCAAACCUUUUUUCUAUUUCAAAGUCACAAUUAGAUGUAAUUGCACCAUUUUGUUGUUGUAGUCCUGCAAUGCACACAGUCAUCAACUUCACCCAAGCAACUCCGCGUGUCAAUUCAAAUCCACCAUGAACCAAUCCAUAAGCUCAAACAUAUAACCCAAUCAGAUGAUAAACCAUCACAGAAAAGGCCUAAUUUUGGUCCAAAAGAGCAAUUCAAGGAUAUGGUUCUUACCUGAAAUACUUUGGUGAAGUUGCAAAAUCACCUUUGUCCUCGUGCCCAAACCCUUCAACAACAAAAAAACAAUGAAAGAAAAUUUUCAUUGUAAUUCCAAGCACAUGCAAGAAAGAACAAAGGCACCAAAUUUUCAAUCCAACAUAAUUAUAGAACAAAGACUCAAACUUUUGCUUUCAAUAAAAAGUACUAAUGUUAUUAAGUGGGUGACCUCAAACGCCCUUAUAAGCAUAAUUAUUGAACUCCUACCCACAAAACAACAGUUUGAUGUUUAAAAAGAUGAAAUUUUCUGUUUUUUUCUUGCAUUUUCUUAGCAAACAAAUAGAGGGUAAGUAGGUUUCUACAUAUUUUAUAGAGUGUUAAAUCAGAUUUUUUGUUUGAAUGAUCUUAUAUCGAACCAACCAUAUUUCCUUUUAGAUACAAACAUAUAUUAAGCUCCUACGGUUCAUUCUCUACAUGUUCAAAUAGAGAGAUACAAAGAGAUCUUGCCUGUUUAAUAAUUUUUUGUUUGAGAUCCUCGGAGAGACCGCCGGUCCCAGACAAUGGAUCAUGCCAUCGUCGGAUGGCUGUCGUUGAAUCUCGGAGGAGGCGUGAUCGGGAGAUCCAACAGGUGAGGCAUCAGAACCGUCCGUCGAAACACUACCUACAAAACAUCAAAAGAAGACGCGAUUAAAAAGAAGAACAGAAAAGGAGACAUAUCUGAAAAAUUGAAGGAAACCCAACGAAAGAGGAAGAAUGCGAUAUGAGACAAACAGGAGAACAAAUGAAAAGAAGGUUAUCUAAUGAAGUAGAGGACCAAAUGAACGAACCAAUUCGCACCAUAGCAGCCACAAAUGAAAUCAACGGCCGCAAGAAAGCCAGAUCAAGCUUCAAUAGUGAAGCUCUCAUGGGAGAAAGAGCCAGCCAAAAGUGGGAAUUUCGGUUCCCACGAAGAGAUGAGAACAGGGCUGGAGGGCAUCGGAGACGGUGGCGGAGAGUCGGUGCUUGUGAUGAUGACGGCGGCGGCGGCAGAGAGAAAGGGAAAGAGACGGAGAGAGAGUUGGAGAAGACGACUAUGAUCUCUGAGGCCUCUCUCUCUCUCUCACUUCUCUUCGAUGAAGCGGCUUUGGUUUUCUCCAAAAAGAAGCGACCAGACAAAAGGGUUAUGUCGCUAUGCAUUAGGGCAAAAAUGCCAUUUUACUGAACAUAAUUAAGAGGGCAACCAAUUAAGCAGGGGCACAAACGUCAUUCCACUAUUGCGAAUGAAUAGUCUAGGAACAGUAAUUUUAUUCAGUUUUAGUAUAUAAUAUAAAUAGUCUAGGAACAGUGAUUUUUUAGUAUAUAUAUAAAUAGUCUAGGAACAGUGAUUUUAUUCAGUUUUAGUAUAUAUAUAAUUUGGGUGAAAGAAAGGCCUAUUCCACCGCAUUGUUUGGUUGAGAAAGAAAAAUGUUUCUCUUGUUUCAUUCAAUUGGAGGAAUAUGAAGGCUUUCAUUGAAUUGAAGGCCAAGCCUUUGAGUAUGAGCGAAGACUAGUGCGAACAACUAUAAACAAAUUAAAUGAUGGCACAAUUGAAAUCUGAGUGAAAGCUUCACCUGCCAGAGAGUAUGUAUUUAUUUUGAAUUUUGAUAAACCUGAGAUAAUUUUUUUUUUUUUUUUUUGUCAAGAUAAACUUAGAGAUAUGGAUUUCAUGGAUCAUGGAUCAUUGCGUGCAAGAGGUUACAGCUUAUGCCGAUGGUGGGGGAGAGGGUUGGAAGGGGUGGUGGUGGUCAUGCGAUAACAAUAAUUAGGUUAGUGUUUUUUUUAUUUUGGUGUGAUAAUUAUGUUAGUUUUAAAAUUUUAAUUUAUAAGUUCUAGCAAAUUGACAGAAAUGCCCUUAUAGUUAACUGAAAGUUCAUGUGGCUCAUAGUAAAAAUUAAAAGUUCUUGUGGUAAUUUCGCACUGACCUAAAAGUUCAUGUGGUAUUUAUGCAAAUUUCCCAUAUACUCGGUUUUUUCUUUAUUUUUUUUUUAAAAAAUAGUAUCGACACUCGGCUAUACUAAGGUGUUUCAAAUUUGUUUAAAAGAAUAGUUUAGCCAACUGGCUAUACUCGGUUUUUCCACACAAAAAAUAAAAAAAAGUAUAGCCGUGCAGUUGUACGCGGAUCUUUUUUUUUUUUUUAAUAAAUAGUGUAGCCGAGCGGCUAUACUCUUUAUAUAUAUUAGGUCAUUACCCAAGUCUCUAUACAACCCAAGUCAGUGAAUCCCACUCGUGACAUCAACUUGGGGUUGGAGGAAGAGCAACCCAUUGCAUGGUGCAUGCAUUGCAGAUGUAGCAAUCACGUUGAUAAUCCUUGCUUGUGCAGCACAAAACUAAGUCAUUAUAUGUCGCUACCGCAACUGACUUACCCAUCAAACCGUGGAAUGUGAAUCUUUUGAGCACCGGAGUAAAACUCGAUUAUAUAUUAGGGUAUUUUUGAAUCCUAUCAAUGUCUUCAGAUUGAUCAAGGGGCUUACCUAACUUUCUCAAAGCAAAGGGCUUAAACAACUUUCUUUAUCAAUUUGCCCCUUCAACAAGAAGAAAUGCUUAUUGCUCUUUGACUCAUAUCAAGCGGCUUAAACGCUAAUUUUUCUGUCGCCAAGUGAUGGUAGGGCUUGUCUGAGGACUUCCUUAUAAGAGAAGUUCUUUUCUCUGCGAGCGACUAGAUUUUCUUUUAGAACAUCUUCGAAAACAGACUGAGAGCUUGUUUAAGCACGAAAAAAAAUUGGUUUACACCCUGGGGAUGUAAACACCCCUUCACGUCGGAUCUCAGACAUUCAAUCAAAGAAAAAGAAGUCUUGAGACAUAGCUAAAACAGAAAAGUGCAAAAUAAUAAAAGCAACAACCUAGUAGCAAAUUACACAAAGCUCUAAUUGGACUUAAUUAAUAUGCACAACCAAUUACUGUAACCAGCUAAAAAUUAGGAUGAGAUUGAGCAGAGCCAAACUUUAUGGUCCAAAGUCACAACUUCUCAAGUUUCAGCUGAACAAAGUCCUUUGACUCUGGUCAUUCUUGCUCUCUUUGAACGCAACUGCAACAUUCAACAGAAAUUUCUUGCUAUCAUAAUAUUUCUGAAAACUAAAGCAUGGUAGAUCAAGCUCAUGAGUCUCAAGAAAUUUCUUGAAAAUUUCUGCUUUAAGUAGUAAAGUGGGCAUAUACAGAACGACAUAAAUUCACAGUCCUCCGUAUAUCGCCAUAACAACAAUAAGAUGGAAAAAAACAGUUGAACACAAAACAGAACAUAUUAGGGUAUUUAUCAGCAAUUAAAAGUGUUAUAUUGCUGAGUAUAUCAAAUACAAAUAAUCCAACUAAACCAAAUAAAAGUUUACUAUAUAAUUCUUGCUAUCUAAAAGCUGCUAGUACCUCCACCAUGGAUGGGCAUGCCGCAUGCUGCUGCUACGCUAGUCUAGGAACUGGCGUCGGCCACAAUGGGAGAACAACUGUGUAAUAGAAACGAUCUGUUUCACAGUCUUUAACUAUCUUUGACCACUCUCCUGUGUGAAUGUUCCACUUGAUAAUAUCGGCGUUCACACGCAGAUACAAAAUAUCCUUAUUAUUUGGGUCAAAAGCAUUCAGUAUGCAACGCGACAGGUCUGGAAACAUUUGACGGUCCAAGGAAUAAACCCUGCGUUCACUCAAACACAGCCUUUUGCCAGCAGCAUCUCCAUCUUGUGACUCUUUCAACUCAUAUACAUACAGACGUCUGGUCAUCAAGCUCAUGUUGCACAUUCGCACAUAUCCUCCGCACACACCUAAGUACUGAACACUAAAACCUCUGUCUAGAGGUUCCUCAAAUAUAGUGAAACCUAGUUUAUGAUCAAUAUUACCAUCACCAUUGCUGCUGCUGCUGCUGCUACUAGUUCCAUCAUUGUCAUAGAAUGGACCCAAACCAAUAACACUAAGUCCGCGGUCUGUUGGCCAAUAUAACAUUCCGUUGUAUGCAAAGGAGAACUCAUUGAGGCCACGAAAAUUGAAGUUGCGUGGGGACGAGACAACUGAUUCUUUCCACUCGCCAGUUUCAGAAGAGAAGAUCUCCACGUUUAAUUUGAAGGUAUCACAUUUUUUCUCAUCAUUUGCAUAUUCAACAGGAGGCAGAAUUCUCACAACCAUGGACCUACACUCAACAUUAAGCUGGCUGUUAUUUCCUUUCCAAUUGUCUUCCUCACAUUUAUAGUCAGGAACAUUGCAGAUGAAUCCCACUCGUACACGCUUGUGACAUCGACUUGGGGUGGGAGGAAGACCAACCCAUUGCAUGGUGUAUGCAUUGCAGAUGUAGUAAUUGCGUUGAUAAUCCAUGCUUGUGCAGCACAAAAGUAAGUCAUUAUAUGUCGCUACCACAACUGGAUUUCCUACGAAACGGUGGAAACAAAUGAUUCUUUCGAGCGACUGUGUUAGUAGAUUAGGUGACAGCGACACUUUAGGAGGGAAUUCCACCACUCUUUUGUUUAUCAAAGUGCGUAUCUUUGGAGUUCUCUUAUAACUUUGGAUAUUUACAAAGCGGCCAAUAAAAUAAGGAUCUGCGAUGAGAGUGCACCAAUGCUUAGACACAGACUUGCAUUGAAAAACAAAUUUAUUGCAUGGAAGUCGGCAAAGGAUUUCAGCCAAUAUAACGUCAGAUAGAUCAUCAAUUGAUGUUCUUCUUUCUGUUGAUGAUGAUCUCCUUGAUCUUUUUAACUUACUAGAGGUCGGCAAUCCAAGAGACAAUUGGGUUCUCUUCCUUGCUUUGGUGGCAGUAUCGCAUCUCAUAAACCUGCGCCAUGCAAUAUAUUAUACACAUAAUUUAUGCCCGCUAAGAAAAACGUUGAAUGGAUCGUUAACUAAAAUGAAUUUGUACAAACACAACCUCCCAAGUAAACUACAUAAUAUAAAUCAUAUAUGUGAUGGCAAGCCAAUAUGGUUGUGCUUAAUCACAGUGUUGUAUGGGAAAACUAAGACUUAGGAACCUAAUGUGCCUGAAAGAAAUACCUUUUAAUCCACUGCAUUGUUUGCUUGAGAAAGAAAAAAAGUGGUAAAACUUGUUUAUCCUUGUUUCUAGAUAUGGUGAUGAUGUUAGCUCAUCAAAAGCCAACUACCAUGGGGUAUAGGAAGUUAUGUACACUGAUUAUUAACACGGCUUUCCGGGUUGAAUUGAAACAUCCUUGUUCACUAAAUACUGUUUUCUCAUCCUCUUAAGUUUCCAAAAAGUUUUAGCUGUUUUUAUAAAAUGUGAAGGCAUAGUGGAGAUUACAAGGUACGGAAGUAUGAGUGACAGUAAAAUUGAUAAAGAAAUGAGGCAUAGAUCAUAGGAAUGUUACAAUAAAUAUUUAUCCCUAGAAGCCAUAGAGAAGUGAGAUUUCAACGUUAGGAAUAGAAAUUGAGUAAUAAGAAAGAAACCUGCAAUGACUCGUGUUCGCCUUGAAUUGCUUCUGCUCAACAAAUCCAGAUGGAAGCUUCAUGGAGCCUUUAGAGCUCAUAAGAGUAUUGGUGGUCAGCUCUGGUAUCUUUGCAGAUCUGGCAACUUGUUUAGGAUCGCUAGAUUUCUGAAUUCCUGCAAGAAUCAUAAAACAAGAGUCUAAUUACAUUGACCACCAAGAUACCAAUGGUUCUAACAAUUCAAGCAUCAGUCUAAUGGAAAAGCAUCAAGCAAUAAACAUAUUAGUUCCACUGACAGUUGCUUCUUCACCAUGAGUACCAGAUUUCCAAUAAGACACCUUAACCAUUAAUUCAAAAAGGCACCUAAAUUCCACAGGAGAAAAAUUAAAAAGUUAUUUACCAUUGUCGGCAAUUCUGUUCCGAUUGAACCUUUUGCAACCAUUAAGGCUCUGUUUCAGGCAUUGGUCGGCGUUGGGGGCGGACCCUUGGCUUGACUGGACGGCGGCAACACCAGUGUCGGCAGCACAGAAUUCAUUGAGGAGGGGAUUUUCCAAUUCAGCCAUGAGAGAAGAAAUGCCGAGAGAUAAGAUUGAGUUUGAAAAAAAAAAAAUUAGAUAUCGGAACAAUGGAAUAGUGAUUCUCACGGCUGGUAAGGCUUUUAUUAUGGUUGAGGGUUCCUAUUAGCUUCGUGUAUACACACAUACUGCAAUUCAAUUCCAUAUUGACAAGGGAUUUGAGGAAGAGAGGAGACAGAUAGAGAUAGGGAUUCGAGAACGGUAAAACUGGUAGGGAUCGAUACAAUUGGCGGGUGGGGAAUUAUUUUUUGAUUAUUUCACCGAAUUGCCCUGAACUUGUACCUAAUUAUCCAUUUACCCCAUAACUUUAGCAAUCCUAGAGACAAUUGGGUCUCUUCCUUACUUUGGUAGCAGUAUGGCAUCCCACCCACCUGCGCCAUGAAAUAUAUUAUACACAUACUGUAUGGCCUCUAAGAAAAAUGUUUCGUGGAUCGACAUAUGAUUCGUUAACUAAACCGUACGAAUUUGGACAGACACAACCUCUCAAUUAAACUACAUAAUUAAUACAUAUCAUAUAUGUUAUCGCAAGCCAAUAUGGUUUGUGGUUGAUCACAGUGAAACUCUAAGUUGUAUGGAAAAACUAAGACUUAGGAACCUAAUUUGGCUGAAAGAAAGGUCUUUUCCACCGCAUUGUUUGCUUGAGAAAGAAAAAAGAGGUAAAACUUGUUUAUCUUGUUUCUGGAUGGUUAUAAUGCUAGCUUAUCAAAAGCCAACUACCAUAGGGUAUAGUAUAGGAGAAUAUGUACACUAAUUAACAUGGUUUUCCGGGUCACUAAAUUACUUUUUUCGUUUUCGAAAAGUCUUAGUAAAAUAAGGCAUAGAUCAUAGGAAUGUUACAAUAAAUAUUUAUCCCUAGAAGCCAUGACAACUGAGAAUUCUAAUCUGUUUUCAAACCUAGGAAUAGAAAGAAACCUGCAUAGAGUAGUGUCCGCAAUUCUGUUCCAAUUGAAGCUUUUACAAGCAUUAAGGGUCGGUUUCAAGCAUUGGUCGGCGUUGGUGGCCGGCACAGGAGGGGGGCCGGGGCCCUUGAAGUGAAUUCGUGGCAAGCGGGACUGUGUGCGGUGGUGGCGCCAGUGUCGGCAGCACAGACUUCAUUGAGGAGGAGGUUUUCCGAUUCAGCCGUAAGAGAAGAACAACCGAGAGAUAUUAAGUUUGGAAAAAACUAAUAAAUAAAUUCAGGUAUCAGAACAAUAGUCGAUGAACUGCGGCUGUUUUUUUAUAGGUGUAUUAUUAUGUCUCUUGGAGAGAUACACCCACGCCUCAACUUUGCUUCUGAAUUCUAUAUAUGCAAGGAUAAGCUUUCUUGCGGAAGGGGCGAACUCUCCGUCUACAAAUCUAUUGUCCCCAUUUGAUUUUUCACUUUUUCAGAGUUAUUACUCGUACAAAGAAUUUAGUACUUUCACGUUUAAUACUAUAUUAUACACGUAUGUACCUAUUUUUCAAUAAUACAUUCGUGUUUUAUAUACGUUUUAAAGACUUGGUAAAAUUCACGUUUUUUAAAAAGCAAACAUACAAUACUUGUAUUGAACAUGCACGUACGUAUUUUCAUAUUUAAUACACGUAUUUUUUACAAAAUUUUCAAUAAUACACAAAAAAAAUUCACGUAAAAUACAUAUAAUUCUAACAUAUUAUUGAAUACAAAUAAAAUAUAUGAAAAUUUUUAAAUAAAAUAUUUAAAUAAAAUUAAAUAAAAUCUAUUAAAAUAUUAUAUAGUGGCUGAACUUUUAAGCUGUAAUAUGUUAAAAUUUUGCCGAAAAAAUAUGUACAUAUUUUAUUCCUAUAGCCGAAUAAACUAAUGCAAAUAGGAAGGUUCUUUUUCUUAAUUUUUUUUUUAAAUAGUAUAGCCGCGCGGCUAUACUACGGUUUUCUUAAGUGGGCGCCUAGCGCCAGGCGGGUCUCUUUUUUUUUUUUUUGGUUAAAUAAAUAGUAGGGCCGUGCGGCUAUACUCGGUUUUUCUAUUUUUUUUAUAAAGAAAUAGUAUAGCCGGCGGCUACUCUGGUUUUAAUUUUUUUUUUAAAGAAAUAGUAUAGCCGGUCGGCUAUUCUCGGGUUUCCCUAUUUUUUUUCAAAAGAAAUAGUAUAGCCGCGCGGUUAUACCCCUUUUUUUAAUUUCUUUUAAAAAAGAAAUAGUAUAGCCGCGCGGUUAUACCCUUUUUUUUAAUUUCUUUUAAAAAAGAAAUAGUAUAGCCGGGCGGCUAGACGCGGUUGUUCUAACUUUUUCAUAGAAAUAGUAUAGCCGGGCGGCGAUACUCGGUUUUUUUAAAUUUGUUGGAAAAAAUAGUAAAGCUUGGCGCCCAUACUCGGUUUUUUAUGUUUAAAAAGAAAAAGAAAUAGUAUAGCAAAACGGCUAUACUCGGUUUUUUUCUAGUUUUUUUUAAAAAAUAGUAUGGCCGCCCGGCUUUACGCGGGGCUCUUUUUAAUUAUUAUUUUUUAAUAAUUAGUGUAACCAAGCGGCUAUACUCUUUAUAUAUUACACCAUUACCCGAGUCUCUAUACGAACCAAGUCGGUGAUUUUGAUCUCCCAUCAUUCUUUUCGAAUUUGUUGUAUCAUUACUUCUUUUUUGGGUUAAGUAGUGUAAAUUACAUUAAUUUUUGCAUUCAAUAAAUCUCAUGGAAAAUACUUCCCUCCUUCCUCUAUAAGUAGUUACUCAUACAUUUCUAACAAUGACAUUUUGACAUGUGUAUAUAGAAGUUUUUUUUGGGUGUGUUUUUGAUAAAUUAUUUUUGCACAUAUGUCAAACCGUGAUUUGCAGGUUGAAGAAGUAUCCAAAUCUUAUUACCAACUGAAUUUUCCUAACAAAGGCCAUGGGUCCUCUAUAUAUGCCCAUGCUGAGCACCAAAUAAUUUCAGUUAAAAAAGAUUGUUUAACCUUCUUGAAGCCUCAUCCAAUAUAGAAAUGUUAGCCCAUAUAUAACAACUUUAUUGCCACAACUUUUACAACUUGUAUCAAUGUCUUCAGACAUUCAGUAAAAAACAAAUGUCUUCAGACAUAUCAAACAGCUAAAACAGAACAAUGGACAAUAAUAAAAGCAACAGCUGAUAAUUAGCAUGAGCUUGAGCAGGGUCAAACUUUAUGGUCCAAAGUCUCAACUUCUGAAGUUUGAGCUGAACAAGUCCCCUGACUCUGAGCAUUUCUUGAAAGCACUUUCUUCUUCAAGUACAUCCAGAAGAAACAACUAGUACUUGAGCGAACCGUUUCGCCAUUAGCUGUGCCCAACUUGCCUCUUUCUUCUUCUUCUUCUUCUUCUUCCAUCUUCAUUUUCUUCUUGUGGAGGCAUCUCAGCACAUGUGCUUCAGCAAGACUAUAACCAGCAGACAUGGCCUAUUUUUAUUUUUAUUUUUGGUUUAAAAAAAAAAAAGCAAGUGAUUUUUUUUGGUGUUCAAUUUUAAAGAAGAAAUGGGGUAUUGUAAUUGAUGGGGCAUUGAGAGGGCGAUGAGUAGUUUCUUAUAACAUUUGUGCUGGCUUGGGAAGCAAGCAUGCAUACUUGCAGCGCGCACAAAGAUGAUGUGACAAUGUUGACAAAAUAACUUCUCUUGGACUUUUGAAGUUCGCGGGCAAAUAAAAAAUUGGUGGCUGGCUGCUGCUUCUGGUUGGAAGGUUUGGUCUAUGUGUAUUCUUGCUUGGUCACCAAGGAAAAAGGAAAGGAAAGUAAGCUACUCUUUUCAUGUUUGAAAAUGAAGUCAACUAUAGUUACAAUUUAGGGAUCUUCACUAAUAUACCCAAAAUAGGAGUUGAAAUUAUAAACAAACCCCACAUGGAAAACACUUCAUAAACACACCCAAAAUCCAUUUAUUAAAUAACAAAUUAGUGUUGAAGUUCCAAUAAAUUACAGCACUGCCACUAUCAAGCCCAACAGAAAAAAACUCAAAAAACACCCAAAACAAACCCAGCCCAAAUUUAUAAACAAGCCCAAACAUUGUACCAUCUCGUAUUCCAUAACUUUCGGCCCAAAAAAAAAAGUAAACCGUAAAAGUACAAUGUUAAUACCAUCUCGUAUUCCAUAACAUUGUUAAUACCAUGUCAUAAAAGUACAAUGUUAAUACCAUGUCAUAGAAGUAUAUUGUUAAUACCAUUCCAUAGAAGUAUAUUGUUAAUACCAUUCCAUAAAAGUACAAUGUUAAUACCAUGUCAUAGAAGUACAUUGUUAAUACCAUGUCAUAGAAGUACAUUGUUAAUAUCAUUUCAUAGAAAAACAUUGUUAAUACCAUUUCAUAGAAGUACAUUGUUUAUACUAUGUCAUAGAACUAUCUUGUUAUUACUAUGUCAUAGAACCAUCUUGAGUCCUUUCCAAAGGCAUAAACUUUCUCAGCAUCACUGAUAAGCAUUGUCUUGCCAACCCCAGCAGCGAAGAAUACUAGUAAUAACAAGAUACCUCUACAAAAAAAAAAAAAUGUAUACUGUUAAUACCAUGUCAUAGAACUAUCUUAAUACCAUGUCAUAGAACUAUCUUCCUAGUAAAAAUCACAUUCUACAUAUCAUAAACUUCAAGUGCACAACUAUAUAUAUAGCAAAUUAUAGAGCAUGCUUUGUUACUGAAAUUCUGUUAAUGCUAUGUCAUAGACGUACACUGUUAAUACUAUGUCAUAGAAAUCAACUCAGUUUCAAGGUAUGAACAGUAUAACAACUGUUCAUACCACUUAUUGGAAGUCAAUAACAACAUCAUUUCAUUUGCAUCAUAGGUAUGAUAAACCAAAUAAAGUCUAACCAAAUCAGAAAAUAUUUGAGAUAUGAAUAGAGGAUCCAGUGUUCGUUAAUUUACAUAUUCAAUUGUAAACCAAAUAAAGUAAGAGGGCCACAUUACAUACUAACUCAUACAUACAUAUGGACUUAGAAGUCUUUUAAACUACUUGUUAAUCCUAGAGACUUUCCUGACUUUGUCUCAAACUCGACAUGCAAUGAACUGUUCCCAGUAUAAAUGAUCAGCCAUGAGAAAGCUGUCAGGUUCUUAUUACUAAACUAAACAAGAAGCUGGACACGUUAAAGGAAUAUACAAUUAUUUCUAUCCGCAAAAAAAUGUCUUUAAACGCAGGGCUUGACUUAAACUCUAAUGCCUAUCAUGCUAUUGAUUGCAAACUGAGUUGAGACUCCAAAUCAAAUAGUUGGUUGCGAAAUUCCAUAACUAUAGUCAGGUAUAGUGCCGUAUCAUGGAUGCUAAAUUUUAAACCAGGUGAAUUACCAAUUGCAGCUAGCCUUUCCUUCUUGUUUACUAUCUUUUCCUCCUUGCUCAAUGGCUUUUUAAACCCAAGUUCGGCUGUUGCCAUUUCUUUCUCUUUUCUCUGUGCAGCAAGACGCUCAUCAAAACUGCAAAAUUUGAGCAUUCAGAAAAGACUUCAAGAAAAUGAGAACUUGUUCUUCUGCUGAGACUUAUCUACCUCUCACUUUGGAAUCACUAAUAAAAGUAAACAAGGAAUGUUUUAACCUAACAUCUUGCUUACAUCCAAGGGUAACAUGCCAAGUCAAUGAAAAUUAUGCCCCAGCCCAUAAGACAAUUUACAACAAUAGAAAUAAUAGAAUCGUUCGUUCAUAACUAAUGCAAGCAUGACAGCAGGCCAACCUAAACAAAAACUCCACUCAAACCAAAAGAUGAUAUAGUUGGUCUUAUGUUGCACUUUGCAAGUUUGUGUAUCACUAGCAGUCAUAUUAUAAAUUCUGAUUUGCCACAGAAGCAUUAUUGGCCAAGUAGCUCUUGAAUUGCUCAACAUCAGGGAACUCAAAUUUUAGCCUAAAAAACACGACUAAACAAAAAUAUAAAUAAGCGAAAAAGGGACCCAUGCUAUAUUCAAAAUUUCUGUUUCCUCUCUAUGGAAAGCACAUGUUAAGAAAGAAUAGUGAUGUUCGUCUUACAACUGUCAUAUUUCCAGUAAACACAAGAACAUCAUCUAAAUCAUUGCCUAAAGGACUUGCACCAGUAUAAAUUGUUUCCCACAAUUGGUGGAUCAUAGGCACAAAAUGGAACCAUCGUAUAAUUAAUUCAACUUAACUGUAAUUUCGUAGCCCUAAGCAUGACCAGAGGCUACUAUCCUUCAAAAAUUAAAACAAAAGGAAACGAUUAAAAAACCUUAUCUAGAUUCUUCUCUAAACUCCAUAAAAUGUAUCCAGCAAACCUCAUCUAGUGUUUCUAAGCCAUAAGAGAACAACUAAGUCAAAAACCCCCAAUAUUCUCAAACUUUUAACUAAAAAAGUAACGAUGACUAAAGAACAAAUAAAUUAGUUUCCUUCAAUAUUGAAACAAUCAUAAACCACAGCAUAAAAAGUUAACAUGUUUAGAUUUCUAACCUAAGCAUACCAACUAAAUCGUUGAAUUUAAAACGUUCACACGCCAAACACAAAAAGAAAACACAAAGAUUCAUACAAUAAAUACUGAAAUGAUAAAUCAGGAUAAGAAUAAAAAGGUGAAAAUACGUACAUCAGAGGCAUUACUAAUGAGCUCACAUAGAAAGGUUUCCUUCUUGUUGUAGAAGGUGUUGAUGAUCAAACUUAGAAGCUGGUUGAUCUCAUAGAUCACGACCCGAGUCCACCUCCUGAGUUGUAAAACGACGUUGCCGAGGUUGAUGUAUCCCGCUCUUCAAAGAAAAGCUUAUUCAAUGACGGUCGCAGAUAGGAAGAUGAAGGGGCAGCCCCUUUGGUUCUGGAAGCUUCGUCGUCGUCGGCAUCGGAGAAUAGGAGAUUCCGGUUGAAAAUCGAGAACACCGGACGAAUCUGGCCAUUUUGGAAUAUAUCGUCGGUGGAAAUCGACGAUCCGUCGGGUGCGAAAGAGAAAUCGUCUUCAUCUUCGUUCUUCUCGCAAUCACCACCGGCGUCGGCGUUCUGAACACCUUCAUCCGGUAAUUGACACCUCAAAUCUACAGUAGUAGCCAAAGAAUUCCGCGAGCUUAACCAUUAGCUCUGUUCAUAUAAAAAAUGAAAAUUAGCACCAAAUUCAACGAAGAAACUGAAAUCAAGUCGAAAUUCAAGUAAAUUAAGCAAAAAUAAAAAGGAACUUAACGAAUUGAAGCAGAUGGAACAAACCUGCAAAGGAAAUGGAGGCAUCGCUUAUGAGAACACAUUUGAGCCCACCAACGUAACGGAGAUUGUCAACGGUGUGACGAGGGAGGAUUUUCGUUGGUCUUGUGUUGGUCCAUAGCUCUGAGACUGUUUGGCUUACUUUGAAGGCAGAGAGAGAGAAGGGAGAGAACAGAGGAGAUGCGAGGGUUUGAAGGAGGAGAGGGGCUUGCUUCAAACCUCAGGAGUGGUUUUGUCUAAUUAUCUUCUCUGCAUAUCCAAAACUAAUUUAAUGCUAAAAAGGGUUAUAAAGGUAUUUCAUCUUAUUAAUUAAAUUAAAAAAUAUACAAUUGUUUAUUUUUGGGUUUCUUUUGGGUAUAUUUAUAAAGAUUAAAUGGUAUAGGGUAUAUUUAUAGUUUCAUGUCUAGAAAUGGGUAUUUCACUAAUUUUGUAUACAAUUUAUCAUAGUAAAUAUAUAUAUAUAUAUAUUUUUGGAGAUUCACUAUUGUACCCAAUAUAGGGGCCCAAAUUUAAAAUAUAUAAAUUUAAAAAAACCCCCCACAUGAAAUGGACUUUAAAAACACACACAAAACUUAUUUACAACAUAAUAAAGAGGCUUUGAACUUCAUAUAAAUUACAAAACUAUCAUUGAUUUCUUAAAACAAGCUCAACCUCGAAACCUCAUAAAAAAAAAUUCAAAACACUCAAUAGGGUAUCAAAGUAAUUUAAUAAUCAAAAUUAAAUUCAAUAUGAUCAGCUGUCAUUUUUGGGGAUUUUUUGAGUUUGUUUAUAGAAAUUAAAUGGUAUAGGGUUUAUCUAUAUCAUUUGUGCUAAGAAUAGAUAUAUAACUAAAUAUCUCUUCUUUUUUCUUUUUUGAAAAUAAAGCCGCAUAUUCGCACAUAUCCUCCUCACACACCUACAUAGUCAAUCGUAAGACCUCUCUCCUAAGGCUCCUCCCAGUUUUUGGUCAAUAUUAUCAUCACCAUUAAUGCUGUUGUUAGUUCCAUCAUUGUCGUAGAAUGGACCCAAACCAAUAACAAUAAGGUCGCAGUCUGUUGCCAAUAUAAUAUUCCAUUGACGUUGUGUUUACUAAUUAGGAAUUCGAAUUCGAAUCAGGAAUUGAAUUUAAAUUAUGGAGAAUUUGUAUGUUUACUUCACAUCAGAGAAUUAAAAAGUAAAUGGGCCCCAUACAAAAUUAGGAAUUGAAUUGCUAAUUUUGGAGGAAUUCAAUUCUUGGGUGGGAGGUGGUAUUCUAAUUCAUGGAGAAGUAACUCAUUAAGAAUUCAUCUUUUUUACCUAUAAUAUCCUCACACAAUUUUAAAAUUUUCAAAAUUUCCAUCUACUUUAACCCAACAACGAGGACAUUUUAGUAAUUAGCACCACUCCUACUACAAUUCCAUAUGAUUUAGUAAACAACUUCAGUAGAAAUCUAAAAUCCUGAAUCUAAGUCUCAUCAAUCUAGUUUGGUAAACAACUUCAAUAGGAAUCCGUAAUCUAACUCCUCCUCAAUUCAAUUUCUCCUAAUUCGAUUACGGAUUAAUAAACAUGACAUGAAUGCAAAGGACUCACGGAGGCAAAGUAAAUAAAAGUGGUGUCAGGACGAGACAAUUGAUUUUUUCCACUUACCAGUGUCUCGGAAGAGAAGAUCGCCACAUUUAAUUUGAAGGUAUCACAUUUCUCUUCAUCAUCUGAAUCAUGAUUUGCAAAUUCAACAGUUCGAAGAAUUCUCACAACCGUGUACGUACACUCAACAUUAAGCUGGAUGUUGUUUCCUUUCCAAUAGUCUUCCUCACAUUUAUAGUUAGGAACAUUGCAGAUGAAACCCACUCGGACCCUCUCGUGACGUCGACUUGGGGUGGGAGAAGAUCAACCCAUUGCAUGGUAUAUGCAUUGCAGAUGUAGUAAUCACGUUGAUAAUCCUUGCUUGUUGUGCAGCAUAAAACUAAGUCAUUAUAUGUCGCUACCACAACUGACUUUCCCAUCAAACCGUGAAAUGUGAAUCUUUUGAGCACAGGAGUUAAACUCGAUUACAUAUUAGGGUAUUUUUGGGUAGAUCAAGCUCAUGAGUCUCAAGAAAUUUACUGAAAAUUUCUGCUUUAAGUAGUAAAUGGGGUGUAUACGGAACGACUUAAAUUCACAGUCCCGCGUAUAUCGCCAUAACAAAAAUAAGAUGGAAACAAAAUAGUUGAACACAAAACAGAACAUAUUAGGGGUAUGGAAAAUGAAAACAUUAGUGAUGGGGUAUCCGAAGGAUAAAUGUACCAGAUGGGGACAUAGGGCAGUGAGGCCGAUAGGGAUUACGUACUGGGUACAAUUUUUGAAGGAUAAUCAAGAUAUGAAAUAAUGAUGUGACAUGAUUUGGAUUGUGUAUCUUUUUAUUAUAUUUUCGAGAGUGUAAAAUGACAUUGCUUGACUUGCAUAUUACAUAAUCUACUCAUUGAGCGGUGGUUUGCUCAUCCCUCACAUAUUUUGUUUUCUCAGAUUAAUUAGUGGGCCAAACAAAGAUGAAAUCAGAGAAGUUGGAUUAGUUUAGAGUGAUAAAGUUUUAUUUAUAUCUUGUAUACUUGUAAGAUUACUAUUAUUUUAUAUAUAUAUAAAGGUAAUGUAUUUUAACCAAUUUUUCAGUAUUUUAUUUUAUUUCGUUCAAUUCACGCACCCUGAUUCAUGAAAAUUCUUUAUUUUCGGAUCGGGGCGUGACAAAUGGUAUCAGAGCCCAUGGAUUAGAUACCCCUGGGGAAGAAAUGUGAUUUAAUCUCAGUAAAUUUUGAGGACGCAAUUUUUUUUUAAGGAGGGUAGAUUGUGAAAACCUUUUUUAUUUAUUUUUAAACUAUAUAAAUUAUUGUACAUACUACAUAUUAAUUAUUUAUGAAUUUUUCUUAUUUAAAUAUUUAUUGUGAAGACUUAUAUGUUAUUAAAUCUUAAACCUAGUAUGAGAUUAUUCCUUUAGUUGAAAGAUGGUACCAUUCUUGUUUUCCACGUGUAGAGAUUUGUAAUUGGUUUUAAUCAAGUCAUCAUUGCCAUGCCACCUUGUAUGCUAGUAACAAGUGGUGUUGUGAUAUCAUUAGCCAAAGGGGGAUGAAUCACAUUAUUCUAAUCAUCAUUGCCAUAUCACCUUGCAUGCUAGUAACAAGUGAUGUUGUGAUAUCAUUGGCCAAAGGGGGAUGAGUCACAAUAUUCCCUUAUCUUUUGGUGAUUUAAAAUAUUAUAUAUAUAAAUAUUAUUUGGUUGCAUCCGUAGCUUCUCUUAUAAGUAUCAUCAUUCCUUACUUCAAUCAUUCAUUCCAAUUAUUUAGAAUAGAUUUUUCCACCAUGAAGUAGUGUUUAAGAGAGAGAGAGAGAGAGAGAGAGAGAGAGAAACAAGAUGAAGAACGUGUUUGUUUGUCUUGCAAUAUUUCAUACUUGUCAUGGUGAGUUGGUUAUGUAAUGUGUUCUAAAAGUUCUUAUUUUGUGAUAAAUGUGAAAAUCAUGGAUUUAUUCUAUUUACAAAUCUCUCUCUAUUUUCAAGUCAAGCAUGUCUAAUUUGUGCAAUAUUUCACACAAUAUAUAUUAUUUGGAGUUUUUAUGAAGUACGUACUAUUCAUGGAACAUGAAAACUUCAGUGACAAGGUAUCCGAAGGAUAAACGUACCAGACGGAGACAUAGGGCAAUGAGGCCGAUAAGGGUAAAGUGUUGGGUACAAUUUGUGAAGGAUAACCAAUAUUUGAAGUAAUGAUGUGACAUGAUUUGGAUUUUGUAUCUUUUUAUUAUAUUUUCUAGAAUAUGUAAAAUGACAUUGCUUGACUAGCAUAUUACAUAAUCUACUCACUGAGCGGUGGUUUGCUCUUCCCUCGCCUAUUUUGUUUUUUUUUUUAUAAAUUAAUUAGUGGGCCAAACAAAGACGAAAUCCGAGAAGUUGGAUUAGUUUAUAAUGAUAAAGUUUUAUUUAUAUCUUGUAAACUUGUAAGAUUACUACUUCUUUUUUUUUUCUUUUUUUUUGGGGUAUAAGGGUAAUGUAUUUUAACCAAUUUUUUCAGUAUUUUUAUUUUAUUUCGUUCAAUUCAAGCACUGUGAUUCAGGAAUAUUCUUUAUUUUCGAAUAGAGGAGUGACAGUCUUAAAUCCAAUUCCUACAAAGCCGAGUUGUCUAUCAAUCAAGUAAGCCUGGUGAAAACGGGGUAGAUUCAAGGAAAUGUCGAGUGAAACUAUCAUGUUGUGUUGGAUGAUCUCUUUUACUUCAGUUUUACAUUUCACUUUAGACUAUUCAAAAGAAAAUUUCUAUCCUGGUUUUCUUUAGGGUGGUUACUAGGGUCGUUGAUGUCUGAGCUAGUCAUUCACAAAUAAUAAGUAAAUAUUCGAGUAUGGGAUUAGCUGAGAUGAACGAUAAAUUUUCAUAUACAAGUACAAAACCAGUUCAUCAUUACAACCUUUUUUUCAAAGACAAUAUCCUCAAAAACCAUGAAAUUUAAGCGAAGGCAAUUAUCGUUAAGCAUGUUUAAUCUCUUUUGGCAAUUCGGGAUGCCCUCGACGAAUUUCCCAAAAAUGUGCGUGUAAAUGUUACCAACAGCAGUGAAACCAUACAAAAAAGUAUUGCACAAAUAUUAGAACUCUACAUAAAUCCAAAUAAAUAAAAUGUUUAAAUUGAAACAGAUACCCACACGAACUAACAGGUUGUUCUUCAAUUCCUGCAAGCUCCAUACAUCGCCAAAAUAACCAUCUUUGAUAAACUUAUUCAGAAUGUUUUCAUUGUUACUCACAAAGCUGUCAGCAUUGUUCCAGGAGAUGAAUUGAGUGAUAUUAGACUCCACCACCCAAUACAAACAAAUCGGUAAACCAAGCUUUACCGCCAGAAAUUGACGUUUGGCAAACUUGCACAGACGUAACAGCUCGAUUGUGGCUUUGUUACGGCAAAUGACGGUGACUUCGGCAUAUUUUAUUGCAUCAGCUAUAGCUAUAGUUACAGCGGCGGAUUCUUGUUUUAUGGUUGCUUCGUCCGGCUCAAUGGCAAACCAGAUAAACAUAAGUUGCUUUCUCGGUUGUGCUGCCAUAAACGCAUUCUAAGCAUCUUCAAGAAGCUCACUUGCCAAUUGAAUAUCUUGGUAAGAAGUUGCACUAUUAUUCUCCUCUACCUCAAUCCAGUCAUUGAAGCCCUUCAUAGACGAAGGCCAAUCAAGCACAAGAACGCCAUUGCGAAGCGUGUGGCGGAGGAGAAGAUCCAACUUGAGUUCCAACUAGAUUUUGUGGUGGAGCCUGUGGCAAAGCCGAAGAUCUAACUGGAGCUUGUGGCAAAGCUAAAAAUAGUGCCGAAGCACGUGGGGAGCCCAAGAUCCAACUAGGAUUCAUGGCGGAGCCCAAGAUCACACUAGAGUUUAUGGGGGUGGAAGAGCAAAAGAUUUCAUUGGGGCUUAUGCUUGAGCCAAAGAUUGCGACGGAGCCCUAGGCGGAGACCGAGAUCCAACUUGUGUUUGUAGCGAACGCGACAGUCGUGGAGACUAUGGCCAAAGUAAAGAUUGCACCAGAAGAGGCGUUGGAGCCUAAGAUACAACUGGAGUUCAUGGAGGAGCCCAAGAUUACUCUAGAGUCGAAGAUUGCGCCAGAGCCCGUAACUAAGCCAAAGAUCCAACUGGUGAAGUCGAAGAUAGCGCCAGAGCUGGUGGUGCAACCGAAGAUCCAACGUGAGUCUGUGGCAGAGUCGAAGAUAGUAGAGGCUAUGGUGGAGUGGAUGAUUGUGAAGGCUAUAGCGGAGGUGAAGAUAGCACUAAAGGCGGCGUAGGAUCCCAAGAUCGCAUUGGUGGCCACGGCAUAUCCGAAGAUGGCACCGAAUGCUGUGCUAAACGACGUGGAUUAAGCCAUGAAAAUUGAGGCUUGGGUUGAGGAUGUGGGAGCAGGGGAAAGGCACUCUUGCAGCAAUAGGAUUAGCUCAUGCCUUCAGCCAAGCUUCAAAUCCUUCUAUAUUGUAAAGGAAAAAUAUAACAAGAGGCUUCGGCGAAGAAGAUGACGACACUGAAGGUUAGGGACGCUGUGUUAGAGUCAAAUAUUGCGGAUUGAGAGAUGUAAAGGGAAGCUUGGGCUAAGGAGGUGGAAGCAGGGGAAAGGCACCCUUACAGCAAUAUGAUCGGCUCUUGCCUUCAACCAAGCUUCAAAUCCUUAUAUAUUAUUAGGGAAAGAUGAUAUGGGAGGUAUCGGCGGAGGGGACGAAAACAUUAGAGAUCGGGGACGCUGUGUUAGAGACAAAUGUCGCGGAUUGAGCCAUGUAAAAGGAGGGUUGGGCUGAGGAGGUAGGAGCGGGGGACGGGUCACCCUUGCAACAAUAGGAUCAGCUUCUACUUUCAACCAAGCUUUAAAUCCUUCUAUAUUGUUAGGGAAUGAUGAUACUAGAGGCUUUGACGGAGGAGAUGAUGACAUUAGAGGUUGAGGAUUCCUAUCAUUCUCUGCCAUCUGGAAAAGGAGUUUUGACUUUUCAAUCUUGAUCAAUUUCCCUCUAAAAAAUUUUGUAUCACUUGGUGUAUUUAUUGAAGAGAUUGAUUUUUCAUAUAGCCUUGGUACAUAUGAAGAUGAGCCAGUUUGUUUUCAAUGUGAGAUAAUAUACUGUAACCCAAUUCAAUUGGGCAGGAAACAAGGUCACAUUUAAAGUAAAAAACCCGAUUUAGACUAUGAGCCAUCUUUUGUACAAAAUUAAAAAUAAAUAAAAAAAUCUUUGAAGAGAAUGAUUUUUCUUGAGAAAUAAAGGACAUGCAUUACUAACAAUUUUAGUUCUAUUACUUAGCAUUUAUCUCAAAUCCUUCUAUAUUGUCAGGGAAAGAUGAUAUAGGAGGCUUCAAAGGAGGAGACGACGGCACUAGAGGUUGGGGAUGUUGUGCUAGAGUCAAAUGUCACGGAUUGAGCCAUGUAAAGAGAGGCGUGGGCUGAGAAUGUGGGAGUGGGGGAAAGGGCACUCUUGCAGCAAUAAGAUAAACAAUAACUCCCCCCCCCCCCCCCCCCCCCCGAACACAGCGUACAACUUUCAUCGUACUGUGCUCUCUAAAGAGCAACUAUUCUCAAAAUCUUUACUCAUGUCUUCUCCCAAGCUUCAAAUUCUUCUAUAUUGGUAAGGAAAGAUGAUACGAAAGGCUUCGACGGAGGAGAUGACGGCACUGGAGGUUGAGGAUGCUUUGUUAAAGUUAAAUGUCGCAGAUUGAGCCUUGUAAAAGGAGGCUUGGGCUGAGGAAGUGGGAGCGGGGGAAGGGGCACCCUAGCAGCAAUACAAUCGGCUCAUGCCUUCAGCCAAGCUUCAAAUCCUUCCAUAUUGUUAGAGAAUGAUAAUACAAGAUGCUUUGGUGGAGGGGACGACGGUACUAGAGGUUAGGGAUUCUUAUCCUUCUCUGCCAUCUUAAAAAUGGGUUUUAACUUUUGAAUCUUGAUUGUUUAAAUUUUGAAUCUUGAUCGAUUUCCCUCUAAAAGAUUUUCUAUCGCUUGGUGUAUUUAUCGAAGAGAUUGAUUUUUCUUGUAGCUUUGGUACAUUUGAAUAUGAGCCAAUUUGUUUUCCAUGUGAGAUAAUAUAUUGUAGCCCAGUUCAAUUGGGCAGGAAACAAGGUCACAUUUGCAAUAAAAAGCCUGGUUUGGACUUUUGAGCCAUAUUUUGUACAAAAUUAAAAAUUAAAAAAAAAAUCUUUGAAGUGAUUGAUUUUUCUUGGGGAAUAGGGGACACAUACUACUAACAAUUUUAGUGAUAUAACUAUUACUUAGCAUUUAUAUCAAAUCAUUCUAUAUUGUUAGGGAAAGACAAUACGAGAGGCUUCGGCGAAGGAGACGACGACACUGGAGGUUGGGGAUGCUAUGCUAGAUUCAAAUCUCGCAGAUUGAGCCAUAUAAAGGGAGCCUUGGGCUGAAGAGUUGGGAGCAGGACCCUUGCAGUAAUAGGAUCGACUCCUGCCUUUAGCCAAGCUUCAAAUUGUUUUAUAUUGUUAGGGAAAGAUGAUAUGGGAGGCUUCAGAGGAAGAAACGACAACACUGGAGGUUGGGGAUGUUGUGCUAGAGUUAAAUGUCGCGGAUUGCGCCAUGUAAAGGGAGGCUUCGGUUAAGGAGGUAGGAGUGAGGGAAGGGGAACCCUUACAUCUAUAGGAUUUGCUCCUGCCUUUAGCCAAGCUUCAAAUCCUAUAUUAUUAGGGAAAUAUGAUAGAGAGAGGUUUCAGCAGAGGAGAUGAUGGCAUUGGAGGUUGGGAACGCUGUACUAUAGUCAAAAUGUUGCGGAUUGAGCCAUGUAAAGAGAGGCUUGGACUGAGGAGGUGAGAGAGGGGGAAAGGACAAUCUUGCAACAAUAAGAUUUGCUCUUGUCUUCAGCCAAGCUUCAAAUAGUUCUAUAUUGUUAGGGAAAGAUGAUAUAGGAGGCUUCGACGAAGGAGACGGCGACACUGGAGGUUGAGGACACUGUGCUAGAGUUAAAUAUCACGGAUUGAACCAUGUAAAGGGAAGCUUGGGCUGAGGAGGUGGAGGGGGGAAUGGGCACCCUUGCAGCAAUACAAUCGGCUCAUGCCUUCAGCCAAGCUUCAAAUCCUUCUAUAUUGUAGGGAAAAGAUGAUACGGGAGGCUUUAACAGAGGGGACGAGGCACUAGCAGUUAGGGACACUGUGCUAGAAUCAAAUGUCGCGGAUUGAGCUAUGUAAAGAAAGGUUUGGGCUAAGAAGGUGGGAACAGGGGAAGGGGCACCCUUGCAACAAUAGGAUCGGCUCAUGCCUUCAACCAAGCUUCAAACCCUUCUAUAUUGUUAGGGAAAGUUGAUACGAGAGACUUUGGCAGAGGAGACGACGAGACUAGAGGUUAGGGAUUCCUAUCCUUCUUUGCCAUCUUGAAAAAGGGGUUUUGACUUUUGAAUCUUGAUCGUUUGAAUUUUGAAUCUUGAUCAAUGGGCUAGUUUUUUUUCAAUGUGAGAUAAUAUAUUGUAACCCAAUUCAAUUGGGCAGAAAACAAGGUCACAUUUAAAAUAAAAAGCCUGGUUUGGACUUUGAGCCUUCUUUUGUACAACAUUAAAAAUAAAUAAAUAAAUCUUUAAAGAGAUUGAUUUUUCUUGGGAAAUAGGGGACAUGGACUACUAACAAUUUUAGUGAUGUAACUAUUACUUAGCAUUUAUAUCCAUAAAUGAUAUUCACUUAGCGGUUGGAUCACUUAGUAUCAUCAAACUUUUUGGGUGCUUGCAAUUGUUCUCAUUCUUGUUCAAUAAUAUGAAUAUCUUUAACAAUUAUGAGACAUAAUUUGUAUUGAGUGAACUUUGUCAAAUUCUUAUGUCGUUGUUAUGGUCACGUUUAUAUUGUUAUGCACUUAUUUGUUUUACAAAUCAAGCACAUGAUUUCCUAACAUUAUAAAUAGCACAUAUUGUAAAAAAAAAAAACAUUUCCCUGAAAACAAAAGGUUGUAAAGAUUAUGAAUACUAGCUUUAAGAGCAUCUUCGGUGGACAUAUGUAAGUUUGGGGCUGUAGAGCCACAUUUACAUCCCAUUUUGCACCUUCGGGAUGUAAAUGUGGUUUUUACUCCAAAUAGAGUGGAUGUAAUCCGAGGAUAUAAGUUUAAUUUUCUUGUAUGAGUUUGUUUUUGUGUGUUUUUAUUUUGUGUUAUGUUUAUUUGGCUUUUUCAAACAAAUCGACUGAAAUUUUUAAAAAUUUCAAGAAUGCAUGAUUUUAUCCAAUAUGAACAGUUAGAUUAUAAAGAAAAUGGUGACUUUAUGAAUAUUUAGAUGUGUUUUCGAAUUUUUUGAACCAUUCCAUGAUUUGUGUGUGUGCGUGUUUAAUAUAAUUUGUUUGGGCCUUUUGGGUUAAUGCAGCCUUUGGCCUGUGGGAGCUGAUCUGGCCGUCCGAUUUGAAAAGCAAAAGCGGAAAGAAAUCUGGACAUUUGGUUAAUGUAGCCGUUACAAGUGGAAACCAGAUUGAAUGAAAUCUGAGCCUUCAAAUUGUGUUUUUUGGCUAAAAAGAAACCGUUGCAGCUGUAGAAUUAGUGGGCUGACGUCAUGAGUCCUCUCAGCCAACGAGGAGCCCGCCUAUCACAAAUAUCCGGCAACUGUCGCGCGUGGUGCCCGAGUUCCCUCUAGUUUCUCUAAUUUUCCAUCAUUUUAUCCUUCUCGGGCAGCUAUUGUAUAUUAUAUUUGCAUUCCAUUUCUCUCUUUUUUUAUAUAUACAAAUCACAUUAUAUUUUAAUUUAAUCUAAAUUAUGGGGAGAGAAUUCGAAUUUGAAUGCAGAAUAAGGAGCAUAUCUGUUCUAAUUAAUUUGACUAAGUUCAUAUAUAUUAUAUUUGCAUUCCUUUGCAUCUAACACUGAAGCAAUUUCCGAUCACAAGAAAUGUAGAUAUAGCAUACACAUGAUUUUACACGUGAGCUGCUCUAACCAACUAAAAUUUAGUUACUUAUGUAUAGAACCACAGAAGCAUAGUUAUGUAUAUAGUUAGUAAACGUUCAUGAGUUUGAACCAAUUGGAUUAUUUUGACAAAAAAUAUAUUCAAUCCAAUCCAACGUUGGUUAAGUAAUUUUGCAAUCUCAACAUCAACAUCAAUCAAAUAGGGUCCAAUUCAAUGUCAAUCAAACAUGAUUAUAUCAACUCAACAACUGGUUAUUGCUUUUUGACGAUGAAGGAAAAUAAUAUUUUUCAUUAAAUUUGGAUCAUCAAACUGUCCAAAUGGAAAAAUAUUUGUGUGAAAGGAAAUAACACUAUUUUACAAUACCCGUUUAUAUAUAUAUGUAAAUAGUAUAGCCUAUACUUGAUAUUUUUUUUAAACAACUAUAGCCGCGGCUUUACUUGGGUAGUUUAUUUUUAUUUUUUAAUAAAUAGUAUAGCCGUGUGGCUAUACGUCUUUUAAAUAUAAUAUACUUAAACAGUAUAGCCACACACCUAUACUACGGUUUUUGACAUGUGGUGCUGAAUCGCUAGGCGGGUCUUUUUUUAAUUUAUUGAUUUAUUUAUAUAAAUAGCUCAAUUGCCUAACAAUUCGGCAACUGAGAAGGCAACUGAGAAUAGCCACGUGAAAGGCAAGUGAGUUUGAUUUCUCAGUUGCCUAACGAUUCAGCAACUGAGAAUAGCCACGUGAAAGGCAAGUGAGUAUGAUUUCUCAAUUGCCUAAUGAUUCAGCAACUGAGAAUAGCCAUGCACCAAGAAAAAAUAAAAAAUAAAAAAAAUAAUGUGCCAAGCAUAUGGUUAUCCUCACCUCCAUCAUUUUCAUUUCAUUUCAUUAUUUCAUUCAGAAAACACAAAAUUGGCAUUUAAAUUUAGAGAAUGAAAGACUGAGACCUUUACUCAAAAGAAAACUGAUUAUAGAUGAGAUUCGAGAGACUUUUCAAUGCUCAUUUGACUGUACUGCUGGAAAAUAAAAGGGAUAAACAGGGGGGCAUUUCUGUCAUUACAAUGUGCUUGGGAAUAGUGUCUAGUUGGAUUGAGUUUUAGUAUAUAUAAAUUUCAUGUCCACUUCUGUCUUUUGGCUCUCGCUUUAAUAAGGGUUAUUAGUAUUUAGAAAUGUGUUUUGUAAUGUAUAUAUGUAUGUCUCAUUUUGCCACCUAAAUAUUAUGAAUAUGUUGCUAUUAGCCCAACCUCAAACAUUCAGUUAAAACUUCACUCGUGGUGCUCUGUUUUAAUGUAAAGAAUAGUGAUUCCUCAACAAAAAAAAAUAAAAAAAAAUAGUGAACGUACACUCAAAAUACAACAAAAUCAUAACUUAGAGGACAAUUAAUCAACAUUUGCGAUAGGUUGUGCUUUUCAGUGGAAGGCUCGUGAUCAGCUUUCGACUUGAAGACGACCAGCCAAACAAAUGGAAUAGGGAGUUGGAAUACAUUUGUACACCGGGAACAUAUCAAGCAAGAACAUUUUGCUGGAUUCUAUAUGAGGCAUGUGUUUCAGUCUCUGGAAACUGGACUCAACUAAUUGGGUCGCCAUUGCAGUAACAUAUGGGUAGCUAGCUUUGGCAUCAAGAAGCAGGGGAAGUCUUCUCUCUUGUGGUGACGAUAAUAAGUUGUCAUGAAUGUCAAUUCACAAUCUCGUCAAACAAUGAAACAAGUUUCUGGUUUUUAUUAUAGGUACUCUGUUUUAGAAGUUCUUAUUUUAGUCCACAAACGUUCAAAUUAAUCAAUAGGUCCCUUAUAUUUUGGUCUUACAUCAAUUUGGUCUUUGUUGUCGCAUUCCAACAAAACUUUGUUAAAAUUGGUCACGUAUCCUUGUUUCGUCAGGGUCACAUUUAGGUUUUACAGUUAGGUUUCACAUUUAGGUUUCGUCAAGGAGAGUACACAUCCUUGUUGAACAACAUAUGUAAUUGUUUUUUCCUUUGUUUUUCAGGGUUUCAAUUUCUUCAUCGAAACAGAGGUUUAAGGAUCACAUUGAUUGAUUGGAAAGUUUGAGAAUUCAAAUGAGGACUUUUGAAAAAUUCAAGGACCAUUCAUGACAAAAACUCUUCUCAGCACCUUUCUAUUAGGGGCCUACAUUUGUUGAAGCUGUUACCUAGGGUACCAUGUGACAUAGUGUAGUGGCAAGCAUACAGUAACCUCUCACUUUCCAUCACUUUCAUUUAAGUAAUUCCAAUAUAUUUUUCUCCAGCUAGGUAGUUUGGUGGUCCAAGCUCACAAAAAUUUAAGAGUGCUGCUAAAUGAACCCUAAAAUUAACUGAGCACACCCUACUACCAAACUAUUUAUUGAAUUACUAAUUUACCUUAAUAUAAAAUGACCAAAAAGAACAUAUUGACCAUAUGUUAAUAAUAAUACAAAAUGUAUUUUCUAUUUGUACAUACACAAACAAUGAGUUUCAUCUGCCUGUCGUAGAAUCUGAAAAUUUUAUUAUAACGUCUAACAAUCAGUUUUCUGAUCUUGCUGGGUUGAGCAUCAUCUCCAAAUGCCUUUAUUGGUGUUAUCCAAAUGCAUACUUUUGACACCUCUGUUAGCUAGGAGAAAACUUUUAUGUUUCCGUUUUAUUGCUCCUUGUCUCCAUCUCUCUCCCUCCUCUGUUAGAGCAAUCGUAAUUCAUUUAUUGGAAAACCAGAUUGCGGUUUCAAGCCAGUUAUGAGGAAGGUUGCCUUUCAAUUCUUCACUCAAGGCCAUCAACUAUUUACAAUUUAUACAUCGAUUUUGAGUUUCACAAUCAGCAUCAGAUAUCUUGGUUAGCAUUCCACCUGUUGUGUCAUGGGGUGUUACACUAGUUUCGACUGUCGACAUGACAACCAUCAUCAAUAUGUACACCAUUUAGAUAAACAAUGCUACAAAGGACCCCUUCAGAUAUUGUGAUGUUAAAACUGAAGCAAUCUUGCUCACCUUGCUUGUUCAUGUUCUGAAGUGUUGGCUUCUCGAUCGACCAGGUCCCAUCUUUAGCCACAGUUGCAGUUGAAAUUUUGGAUGAGCCAACGCAAUUUGACAAAUCAACACAAAAUUUCAUUCAUGCACAAAUCCAGUCCUUACCAAUUUCUCUCAAAAGUAUUGCAAACCCAAAAUCGAAAAAUAGAACACGAAUUCAUGUAAAAAGAGAAACCUGGCUUAGGAUUGGUUAGGGUGUUAUGUGAUAGAAUGUAUAAGGGUGUACCAAGGGUAUUUUUGGUAGUUAAAUAGGGUGUACUUAGUUAAUUUUAUAUUUUGAUUUAAAUAUUAGGGUGUACUUAGAUCAUAGGGUGUAUUUAGUUAAUUUGAGGGUUCGUUUAGCAGCACUCAAAUUUAAAACAUAUUGAGAAAUAGUAUUCCGAACAACAAAGAAAGUGUUUUCUCUAUUUUUAUUAUAAUUAUUUUAUUUUUUGUGUAUAUGUUUUAUGCUAUUUUAUUUUUCAGUUUUUAAUUAUUUAUAAGAUACAAAUCGAACAAUUUGCCCUCAUAGCACUAGGGGGAGAUUGACUUAAAAAAAUGUUUGUAUCCUGAAUUUUCUCAAAUAAAAAAACAAUGGGCAAAAUGAAUGUUAUGUACAAAUUCAAGGGGAAUAACUGAUUUUUUAUUUUAUUUUAUAAAAACAUCUGCAGAAAUAGCUUUCAUUCAACUACAAAUCAAGCAAGCUAAUAAAUAACCAAAUAAAAAAAUUAAGUUGACAAUUAAUUAUCGGUAGCGCCAUCGGAGGAGCACAAUGAUCAAAUGAAUUUAUCCAAUAAACGACAAAACAAACCAUCAAUUACGCAUUCCUAUUCCUAUGUACAGUAAACGACAAUUUCAUCUUUAGUUAUUGUACAAUUUAUAGAUGAGAUCUGAAAGACUUUUCAAUGCUCAACUGAACCCCAAGGACUAACCCACACUAUAUAUAACUAGUAAGGCACGGCCCAUACAAUAUACGUAUUCCACACAAACAAUAACCAUGACAUCUUUCACUUACGCUAAACUUUGCUUCCUCCCUUAUUGCCUUGUCAUCUUCUUGUUUGUUUCAUCACCAAAUUGGGUUGCUUUUCCUUCUGCUACUUCUACUUCUCAUACUGAGGCAGAGGCUCUUCUCAAAUGGAAAGCCAGCUUCUUUCCAAAUCAAGCCCUCAAUAACCUCACCUGGUACGACCUUCCCACUCAUAAUAUUAAUGCCACCAAUUCUUCCAGCACCAAUCCAAAACCAAGAACAAGCCCAUGCACUUGGACUGGUGUUUCAUGCAACUCAGCUAGAAGUGUCAACAAGAUAGAGCUUGUCAAUAGGGGUUUACAAGGUACGCUACAUGAGUUUUCAUUCUUGUCCUUCCCUAAUCUUGAAUAUCUUAACCUCAGUCUGAACAAACUCUUUGAUGCCAUCCCACCUCAAAUCAGUAACCUCUCCAAACUCCACUAUCUUGAUCUCUCUUGGAAUAACUUUUCUGGGAGAAUUCCACCAGAAAUUGGUCUCUUAAGAAAUCUUACCUAUCUUUAUCUCUAUGAUAAUAAACUUUCUGGUUUGAUUCCCAAGGAGAUAGGGAACUUGAAAUCUCUUGUAUAUCUAGCAUUGUCCUCCAACAAUUUAAGUGGUCUCAUCCCUCCAAAUAUUGGUAACUUAAUAAACCUAAACACUUUGUACUUGUAUUCCAAUCAACUUUCUGGUUUGAUUCCCAAGGAGAUAGGGAACUUGAAAUCUCUUGUAAAUCUAUCGUUGUCCUACAAUAAUUUAACUGGUGUCAUCCCUCCAAAUAUUGGUAACUUAAUAAACCUAAACACUUUGCACUUGUAUUCCAAUCAACUUUCUGGUUUGAUUCCCAAGGAGAUAGGGAACUUGAAAUCUCUAAACACUUUGCACUUGUAUUCCAAUCAACUUUCUGGUUUGAUUCCCAAGGAGAUAGGGAACUUGAAAUCUCUUAUAAAACUAAAUUUGGGUAAGAAUCAACUCAAUGGUUCACUUCCCGUUUCAAUCGGUGAGUUGCGCAACUUGGAAAACUUCCACCUAGCUGAUAACCAACUUUCCGGCCCUAUACCCCAAGAGAUAGAGAAUCUCAAGAAGUUGACUAAUUUGCAGUUGAGUAUAAACCAAUUUUCUGGUUAUUUGCCCCACAAUAUUUGCCAAGGCGGAAAACUCACAAACUUUACAGUAUUCAGAAACCAUUUGACUGGUCCAAUCCCCAAAAGCUUGAAAAACUGCACGAGCUUAUUCAGACUUCGUCUUGACCAGAACCAAUUCACAGGCAAUAUAUCUGAAGACUUUGGCAUUUAUCCGAAUCUUCAUUUUAUGGAUGUAAGCCAUAACAACUUUUAUGGAGAGAUCUCACACAAUUGGCAAAAAAGCCCAAAGUUGACAACCCUACGACUUGCGGGAAACAACCUAACUGGGAGCAUCCCACCUGAGAUAGGCAAUGCAACCCAAAUUCAAGAGCUAGAUCUCUCUUCAAAUCAUUUAGUUGGGUUGAUUCCAAUGGGAUUUGGAAGACUGACUUUUUUGGAGAGGUUGAUGUUGAAUGGAAAUCAACUUUUAGGUCGUAUACCCUCUGAAUUCGGAUCAUUGACUGAUCUUGAUUAUCUUGACUUGUCAACAAAUAAAUUCAGUGACUCAAUUCCCAGCAUUCUAGGUGACUUGCUCAAAUUAUACCAUCUGAAUUUGAGCAACAACAAGUUAUCUCAAGCAAUUCCACUUCAGUUGGGGAAGUUAGUUCAAUUGAACGAGCUGGAUUUAAGUCAUAACUCUCUUGAAGGUAGCAUACCAUCAGCAAUAAGCAAUAUGGAGAGUUUGAUGAUUCUCAAUCUUUCCCACAACAAUCUUUCGGGUUCCAUACCAUCAAGUUUCGAAGAGAUGCAUGGCUUGUCGUACGUUGACAUAUCCUACAAUCACUUGGAAGGUCCCCUUCCCAACAUCAAGGCAUUUCAAGAAGCUCCGCCAGAAAGAUUGGAAGGGAACAAAGGAUUGUGUGGCAAAGUUGGAGCUCUGCUACCACCCUGCAAUGCACAUGGCUCAAAAAAGGACCACAAGGUCAUAUCUGUUCUAGCAGUAUUUGUACUUCUAUCUGCUCUCUUUAUAAUUGUCUUUGUAAUAAUGCAAAGAAGGAAGAAGCAUCAAGAUACUAAACAAAACCACAUGCAUGGAGAAAUUUCCUUUUCGGUUUUAAAUUUUGAUGGAAAAUCAAUGUAUGAGGAAAUCAUAAGGGCAACAGAAGAUUUUGAUUCCAUAUACUGCAUUGGGAAUGGAGGACAUGGAAGCGUCUACAAGGUGAAUUUUUCAUCUGGAGAUGUAGUGGCCGUGAAGAAACUCCAUAUGCUAUGGGAUGGCGAGACAAAAUUUCAGAAGGAGUUCUUGAAUGAAGUAAGGGCACUCAGUGAGAUAAGACAUCGGAAUAUUGUGAAGCUCUAUGGUUUCUGCGCACAUAAACGACACUCGUUUUUGGUGUAUGAGUAUCUAGAAAGAGGUAGCUUGGCCGCAAUGUUGAGCAAAAAUGAAGAAGCUAAAGAGUUGGGGUGGAGUAAAAGAGUGAAUAUUGUUAAAGGCUUAGCUCAUGCCUUGUCUUACAUGCACCACGAUUGCCUGCCACCGAUUGUACAUCGUGACAUCUCAAGCAAGAACAUUUUGUUGGAUUCUGAAUAUGAGGCGUGUGUUUCAGACUUUGGCACAGCUAAGUUUUUAAAUCCAGACUCAACUAAUUGGACUGCCGCUGCAGGCACGUAUGGCUACAUGGCACCAGGUAAUAUUGCGAUUCCAUGUUCUCUGUAUUUAGCCCUUUUUUUUUUGUUUUAGACCAAUGCUUCAUUUUCAUAAUUACGAGCAGUUAACAUAAACACAUUUUCACUUCUUUGAUUUGGAAAAUAUGACUAUAAACUAAUAAUUCGAUUUAUGCAUGAUACAGUUUUGUUAAAAUUCCACUGAAUAGUUAUGUUUAUAAACUAAUAAUGCCACUUCUCUGCGGUUUUCUCUAAGCAGAGCUUGCUUACACAAUGGAAGUGAAUGAGAACUGCGAUGUUUAUAGCUUUGGUGUGGUCACAUUGGAAAUAAUUAUGGGAAAGCAUCCUGGAGAUCUUUUCUCGUCUUUCUUAUCAAUCUCUUCAUCCUCCUCCUCCUCAUCAUCAUCUGCAUUAGCAGCCCAUCAAAUACCAAUUGUGGAUGUUUUGGACCAACGCAUUUCCCCUCCGACGCAUCAAGUUGCAAAUGAAGUGGUCUCUCUUGUGAAGAUAGCAUUUUCAUGCUUGAAUUCCAGCCCGAAAUCUCGUCCAAUAAUGAAACAAGUUUCUCAUUUCCUCUCAAAUUCGAUGCUGCAUUUGUCGAAGCCGAUACAUAUGAUGACAUGUGGUGAAUUGCUUGCUCUUGAUCCUUUGGUUACCUGAUCAAAACGUGCUUCUUUGCUACUCACAUUUCACUUUCUCUGUGUCUUCUUUUCAGAAGAAAGAUUCUCCAUAGAUGUUUCCUUCUUGUAAUUUAUUUCAUGCACAUGUGUGCUAUGGUAUGACUUUAUCCAGGAUGCUUUACAGUUUUUUUAUCUUUAAAAUACUUAAUGGAAAAUUUUCCUUACAGUUUGUUUAUCCUUGUGAGGAAAAAAAAAUUAAAUAAAACAAGCGUUUUGUUGAGUAAUUUUGUAUACUCUGUGUAAACCGUCCCAAAAUCAAUAAUAAACAAUUAAACUGUGAAAAUUAAAGGGAGUUUCACUAUUAUACUCAAAAUAGGGGCUGAAAUUAUUUUUUUUUAAACCCACAUGGAAUGUACUUUAGAAAUACAUCCAAAACCAAUUUACUACAUAAGAAAUGUGUGUUGAAGUUCCUAUAAAUUACAUGAUUGCCACUGAUUAACUUUAAAAAAAGCCAACACAAAAAACUCAACAACAAAAAAACCCAAAACAAGCCUAGCCCUUUUUUUUUUUUUAUAAAAAAACCCAAAUAAUUUAUUUAUAAAAAAAAAAAAUUUGUGAAAAACCAACCAGAAACUCUUCAUAAAAAUACAUUAUUAAUACUAUAUCAUAGAACUAUCUUGUUAAUACUACUACAUCAUAGAACUAUCUUGUUAAUAUUACUAUCUCAAUUAGGGUGACAGCCAACCAUAGGCAUAGCUUAUAAUAAAGGCAUUGAUAAACGCAGCAGCAGGGUGGCAGAAAUUAGUGUGAGUUGUGAAUAAUGCAGUAAGUGGGGAAGUGCAAGCCAUGAAGGACAGGCCAAUGAUGAUGUCUGAUAAUUAUUCAAUACUUAUAGUUGUGAAUUGUCAUAUUGGGAGGUAGCUGUACUCACUUCACUCUACAAUCGUAUUGUCAUUGUGAUAUCUGUUGCAUUCAAUCAUUUGGCUUCCCCAAUAUCAAAUAUCCAAAAAUUAUGAAUACGAAUACGGCCCUUCUCGUAAAUUGAACCAUGUCACCUGGAUAUAUAUAUAUAUAUAUAUAUAUAUAUAUAUGCACCCCCACCACCUGGAUAUUUUUCGAGUAAGCGUUAACCUUCUGAAUGCAUGUGAUGUUACCCUAGGACGCUGGCUGGCUCUUUACACACGCUCUGAUCCACCGCAAUACGUGAACAGAGAAGAAGAAGCCACUAUUUGAUGAGAAGAAGCCUGUAAUCUCAAAAGAUCCAAACCCUAAUUAAAUAAGGUCAUCUCUAGUUGUUGUUGACCUUGAGCUGUCAUCCUUUACGUUAGUGUUUGGGUUUUUGAAAAUGAAGGUUGGGAAAUGGGUAUGAGAAUCUAUUCUCGUAUUUGGUGUGUGGGCAGUUUACAGUUUUGAAAUGCGUCACCUUUUACAUGAGAAUGAAAAGCUAUAAAGGAAAAAAGAAAAAAAAAAGAGAAAGAAUAUAUUUUGAUUCCUAUUACUAUAUAGGAACCCAAACUUUAGAAUAUAAUUAAAAUUAUGUAGUUCUUGAAUACCGUUCUUAGCAUUUUUAAACAUUGAAAAGAGAAUUAUUUAUUCUCAUAAAAACUUCCAUACACCGAAAUCAUGUAUCUGCUAGGUACAAUACACAUCGCAUGAGGCGCAACUGAUACAUUAACCUGUUACAAAUAAGUUCUUUAUCUUAAAAUGCUUAAAAUAUGAAUAUAAGAAUGAGAUUUUCAAAAAAGAAAAAAAAAAUCGUGAAACAAUGUAUUGUCCAAAAAUAGCUGAUUUUUCAGCCAAAUAGAAAACUGAUGCAUUCUAGCCAAUUUGAUUGUGCUAAGAACAAUUGCGAUUUGUCCUUCCCAAAUAAUAGACAAGCCAAAAAUAAAAUUUGCAAGGGUAACCGUAUCAGGUCAUUCCUAUUCAGUUUGAAAGUAUUGAUGUAUAAUAUAUAGUGAAAAGGGUAAUGCUAUGCUAGCAUGAUAUAUGAGGCUCCAUAAAAGAAUCAAAUAUUGAUUAGCAACACACAUCUGGUUUUAUGGACAAUGGAAAACUUAGCCAAUCCCAAUCCAACAGCAAUGAAACAUGAAUGAAAAAAUCCUCAUCACAAUCUCCAGACAAGAAUUGCUAAUAGACCAAUUUGAAGAAAUGAAAAAAAUAAAAUAAAAUAUCCUCCACAGUGCUGCAAAACCUAUACAAAAGAAAUCUUAAUCCUCAUGAAUAGCCCACAUGGAAUUUGAAGGGACACAACUAACAAAUCUAACAACAUAGAAGAACAAGAAGAAGCAUGGACAGAUGAGCCACAUGACCUACAAAAUAAAAAUUUCAAGUGAUGGAGUGGAAUUUGACAUAAAUUUUGUGUGGCAUUCUCCAUCAAAUAAAUUUUAACUGUGAACCUGCCUGAUGGCCGGCACUGGCACUCCAAAGAUGCAAGGUGAUCCUGUUCCCACACUGUUGAAAUUGAAGCACUUCCCUGCUGCUGAUCCGCCAAUAUUCCCACUUAUUGAUUGAUCUUCAACCACAUGAUCAUCAUCAUCAACAUAACCAUCAUCAUCAUCACCAUCAAUAUCCUCAUCAUAUUCUUCAUCAUCAUGAUCACCAUGAUCAUCACAUUGUGGGUCCUGAUCAUCAUACUCAUUCUCAUUCCCAUUUCCAUUCCCAUCUUUUUUUCCCUCAUCAUAUUCUUCAUCAUCAUGAUCACCAUGAUCAUCACAUUGUGGGUCCUGAUCAUCAUACUCAUUAUCAUUCCCAUUCCCAUCUUUAUUUCCCUCAUCACAAGCAACUGGGGAAAUCAAAACUUCAUCAUCCAAAGGCACAAGCUGCAAAGUGAGCCUGCCAUUAGACCUAUGAGCCCUGAAGUACUCAUGGUGCCUAACCUUCUCCUCAGUCAAAAUCAACCUCCCAUCACUUGUAUAAUGCCUUUUCAACACCCAAGGCAUAUGAGAAGGCAAGUUCUCAGUGCGAGCCAACAAAGGUAUAGGAGGAGGAAACUCCUUGUUCCUCAUUGCCCAUUUUUGCUCCCUCCUACCCAUCAGCCUCUGCCUGAAAUUACCACUUUGACCCUCCUCCUCCUCCUCCUCAUCAUCAUUUGGCACCACCUGGUCCUUCUCACAGUCUUUCUGCACGUCCACAGAGCUCUCCAUUCCAAUAUAGUCUCCAGACAAGAGAGAUGAAGAAGUUGGAGAGAGAAGAUCAGACAGCAUCAUGGAGCAGUUUUUGUGAGGGGUGUUUUUUUUGAGGUCAAGAUUUAAGGCCUUGAGACCAAAUUCUAGAGGGGCUUGAGCUUGGCAUGGGUGAGGCUCACUGGGGAGAUGCAUAGAGUUAUAUAGCUGCAUAGUGUGACAUCGGCCUCUCUGUAGCUUGGCGUGUUUCAAUGAAGGUUUGGAAAUCACAGAGUUGAGUGUGUUGGGUGGAGAGAAAAGAUAAGCAGAGCCAGCUAAGAUUUGUGAUGUCAAUAUAUUUGGGUUAAUUCAGGAGGCAGAAACCUGGUAAAUAUUGCUGUACAGCACUGCGACUUGCCUGGAAAAUUUCAAAACAAGAAACCAAAUCAAAAUGUGUUAGGCCUAUGAAUAUUUGGUAUAUAUUGCUAAUAGCUCAAAUAAGAAGGAAAAAAAAAAAACAAAAAACUAGAAUGAUGACAACAAAUUAAUUGGCUGUGAAAAUAACGUUGACUGUGAAUUUGAAUUACACAUUUAAAUUUCGCUAUUAUAGACUAUAAUUCACAUUAUUUAAACAUUUCGUAUAUGACAUAUCAGAUUGUGAAUUUAAACACCACACAUUAAAAUUUAUAUCAAUAAUCUAGGAUCUCACAAUAUAAACCCUGGCUUUAGACUUACACGUGGGUUGGUAGAUGGCACCACGUGUUGUUUUCAUGUCAUGCAUGUAUAUAUGUGUAUAUGUAUCCAUACUGUUGCUUGUAUGGGGACCCCACAAAAAUUGAAUGUGUACACCGUUGAGAUGAUGGGAUUACUUAAUAUCAUCAUGAUCUACGGUCCAAAUGCAUUACUGUUUGCUAUCCGACGAGAAGAAUAUGAUAAUAUGUAAAUAAAAACAAGAAGCAAAAAUUGGAGAAGUACAAAAGGAAACGUAUCAGCAUGCAAACCUGGAAACCAGAAUUUCAACCCUAUUUUUCAGUUUCUUAAUUUCAUCCUUUUGCUUCAAUCAUAAUUUGCAUAUAACUAAACAAAUAAAUUAAUUAAAUAUCAUGUUAGUGUCAGACCCCGAAUUUAAGACGGAGAUGAAGACUCAUGGGAGUCAUGAAUCUUGACAAUUGUGUGUGUGUGUGUGUGUUUUUUUUCCUUUUGGUAGUGCUAAGCUGAAAGAGAUGGUAAUAAUAUUAAAAAUAAUGUGAACUUUAAGCAUUGAGUUGUGAUCUUUAUUAAAAGAGAAAAAGGAGAACCUAAAUCCACAAAAAAAAACACUGAAUUCAGGCAAUGUGAGAGAAGUAAGAAUAACCCAGAAAGGAAAUUAAUAUUAAAAAGAUUACAAUUACAAAGAAAUGAAUUAGUGAGCAACUAUUCAAUGAUUUGACAAACAAAGCGCAACCCACUAAAGAAUAAAGCAUAAAACCUCUAAAAGAAAAGAGCAAAAGUUUUCAGAAUUAGGAUAGGUCGAGAGUUCGAUCUCAUAUAAUUUAUCGAAAAUAUCACAAAUCGUUAAUUUCAUUCUAUGAAACAAACACUUGAAACUUACAGGAGGAAAAUGAAUAAAGGUGGAGAUGAUGAUCAGUGGGUUUGUUGUCACAAAAGGGAUGAUAUACAAGGUGGAGAAGAAGAGGGUACGAAGCACACUACUCAUAAUGAUUAAGGGAGAGAGAUAGAGGCACCGUCACCAAAAGAGAUCGUAUUGUUUUUUGGCUUAAUACAAAGACUUCAUAAAAUUUGGGAGCUAAAGUGUCGUCGUUUUUGGGUUUUAUUUGAUUUUAUUAUUAUUUAUUUUACACGUAGUUUAAGUGUUUGUUUGCUAGUUUGUUUGAGUUUGUUUGUUAGCCUAGUCUAUCUUCUCUGUCUAAUUAGAAGGAUGUGUGAUGUGUUCUAAAAAUAGGCAGCGUUUUGGGGAUUACCGUGAUAACCGAAUACGACUCGGCAUAUUAUUAUUUUUCCCACUCAAAUUUAGAUGGUUUUUUUUUAUAAAAAAAAUGAUAUAAUUCUUUUAUUUUUGUCAACUUUAGAAGUUAUUAUCUGCACAAUUUUUUUUAAGCGAUAAUUUACUUCAAUCUAAUUUAAAUUACAUGGAGGGAAAUUCGAAUUCUGCUGCAUAUAAAGAGCAUAUCUGCUCUAACCAACUUGACUAGCCCAUGUAUGCCUUCACAUACAUUUCAAAAGUUUCCAUAACUUAAAAUGGUUCUUAAAACUCAUCUGAUAAAUGUCACAUUUGGGCACACAUAACAUGACAUGACACAUAAAAGAUUAUUACGAUGACCGCAAUAUUCUGUUAAUUUAGACUUUUUUUAAAUUUUAAAUGUCAAGGAUUAAAUUACAUUUUUUUAAUAGUAAAGGAUUAAAUUUCUAGUUAAAUAAUACCGAUUGGCAUUUAUGAUGUUUGGAUUAAAGUUCUUGUAUAUGUUGCUUGGCACGCUACGAAUUUUGCAAGCUGUUUAUAGCUGACGUCUUUUUGAGAUGUUCGAUAAAAUUGAAACAGUAUCGAGGAGAUUGGCAUGCAUGGUUGUUAUUCUCCUUAGAUAACGAUAUAAAAUUAAAUCCAGAACCAAAAAAAAAAAAAAACGAAAGCCAGAAUUCAUUUUUUCUAAAAAUAAUUAAAAUAAUUUAUACAUGCAUGAAUUUAUCCAAUGGUUUUAAUUGUCAUUUACAAUUUUAUAAUGUCUUCUUUGGUCUAUAAUGUGUUAUCUUGGACGAGAAUGAAAUUUAAUGUGGAAUUAUGGUUCCGGUAGUGAUCAAAGUUGGUUUCGGUCAUUACAAAGAUGAAGGGUCAGGAUUCAUUGCCAUAAAGCGAGUCAACUCAUGCAAAACAACAAACCCACAAAGCUGACCAAGACUCGUAUGCAAAAUCCAAAAUUGCACCGUCGGAUCAAGAGGCCUAAACCAACCUGGGUAGGUAAGUUACAGGCUUAGAGUUAAGCCGAAAUGGGCUCAUGAGCACUGCCUUUUGAGGGCAAAAGUUAGCCUGUCAAGUGCAGGGCAGCCAUUGUUGCAACAAGUCAGGGAGAGUUAAGCCCAAAUAGGCCCAUGGGCACUGUGGCUUUUGAGGGCAAAAGUUCGCCUGUCAGGUGCAGGGCAGCCAUUCUUCCAACAAGUCGGGGGAGCAUGUUAAGGAGUUCAAUCCAGCCAUGCGAUAGUAACAUUUUCAUUGAUCAGCUGGCUAUUAAAGGCCACCUCAUUAUAACCAUAUAGAAUCACACACAAAAUCCUACCGUAAAUCCACAUCCAUUGUAUGGGUUUUACGUUUCAUACUGAAUAUGUGAUGACAAUUUAAUGGAGGAGAUGAUUGAGCAAUAUGCAUCCAUUUCAGUUAAAGCUUUGGAGACGAUGAAUAAUAAUACGAGAAAACCAAAGGAAACCCCCGAAAUGUGAAUUCUCUAGUACAACAAAAUUAACUUUAAAUGAUUCUCAAAACACCAGGCAUCAUGUCACUACAAAGAUAACAAAGACAGCAUCGCCAUAGAAUAAAAGGAGUACUUCAUUGGUGGUGAAAAGAGAGGAAAAUCUUUGAAAAACAAUACUAC
This 51186-nucleotide long non-coding RNA is filed under the name Prunus persica (peach). Its description in RNAcentral is "long non-coding RNA (PPER_LNC001548)". The record is from RNAcentral. Lineage: Eukaryota; Viridiplantae; Streptophyta; Magnoliopsida; Rosales; Rosaceae.